RNAcentral lists this long non-coding RNA (55443 nucleotides) under Daucus carota (carrot). RNAcentral's name for it is "long non-coding RNA (DCAR_LNC001131)". The record is from RNAcentral. Lineage: Eukaryota; Viridiplantae; Streptophyta; Magnoliopsida; Apiales; Apiaceae.
UGAUAAGUCCUGAUUAUACUUCAACAGUUCCAAAGGGUUGCUUGGCAGUAUAUAUUGGGGAGAAGCAAAGAAGAAGAUUUGUGGUUCCCAUUUCAUACCUGAAUGAUCCUGCCUUCCAAGACUUGUUAAAUCAAGCUGAGGAAGAAUUUGGGUUCAGCCAACCAGAAGGCGGCCUCACUAUUCCCUGCUCAGUGGACACAUUCAUUCACCUUGCUUCACACCUGGAUAGAUCAUAGAGAAAAACAUUUAUAUACUGGUAGAUAGUAUGGCAUUGAAAUGUAAAUAGUAGAAUAGAGAUUUUAAUCAGAUUUUUGUUGGCAACGGAUGAUUUGAAGCUCACCAUUUUGUUGAAUUUAACUUUACCAAAAUUUAUCCAUCAUAGUUUCUUCUUAAAAAUCUCUAUUCUACUAUUUAAUAUAAAGAACUAAAAAAUUUGAUUGCCAAAUUAGUAACUUUUUCUUGUAAUAUAUGCACUCGUAAAGCAAAUUAGGGAUUUUGAAAUCUCCUUAUGAUUUGCAUCCAAUGACAUUCGCAUAGAAAAGAAAAUGAUCUGAAGACUGCAGGCUCUUCCUUAGAUUUUAGGCAUCCAGGAGAUUUUCUGAUUACAAUGAGACAGCAAAUUUUCUUCUGUCUUGGCUACCUGCUGCAUGUAAUGACAUAUGAUUCGAACUGUGAAUGUCAAGUCUGGUCAGAGUUAGAAAGUUAAACUUAUCUACCCAGAACCAAUAAAUGAUGUUCUUGAUAAAAACAGCAAAUUUCAGAGGCAAUGAUUGUUGAAUGCAGACAGGUUUACAUAUUAUCCUUUAGGUGGUACUAACAUAAAAUGGAAUGAAACGACAAGCUUAUCAGUGGCUUCGUGGCUUACAUGAAGACUACAAAAAAACCUGCACAACUGAAAUUGUAAGGUUGAGUAUGUCAACUGCUAGAGUGAAUUUGAAUAAACAAGUUCUUCACAUCAAUCCAAAGAGAUCUCGGUAAUCCCAGGAGAGCAAUAUGUAUGAAUAAAUAGAUGCUAAUCAAUUAAGCAAAAUAAAUUCUUCACUGAUAUGUAAAAAUAAUAAUUCUGUGUAAUGAGAUGGUUACUCUAAUCUUCCCUAGGUUAUCAAAUGGAAGCGGAUUGAGUAGUAUACAGUACAAACCAGAACCUUACAAAAUUGUUAGUACCAGAUUAUAGCUACUUGUUUCUUAUAUCUGCGCAAGACUAAACUGAGGUUAACCAAUGUCUUCUCUACACGGAAAAGCCACUUCAAACAAUAAAGACAUAGAAAUUGCUCUUCUUUUGAACAAUUACAUUUGUGAUCGGACCAAUAAUGUAUAAAGCUGCUUAUCUAUAUUUCAAAUAAAAAUGACUACAUACUGAUUGCAGAGAUCAAAUCCAUGUAGAAAUUAAUGAAAUCAAAUUACAAAGUAUCAGCUAAUGUUCUACCUACAAGAUUUAUAUGAGAGCCAUAUAUAAAAUUUCUAGACUAGCUUACAAAAUUUGUACACUGUCUAACAACAUAUAUAUAAACUCUCAUAAUCUGUUCAAGAGAUCAAUGAAGGUGUCUUCUUUGCAUGGAAUUGUGAGGCCACCUUCUGGCUGACUAAACCCAAAUUCUUCCUCUGCUUGACUUAACAGUUCUUGGAACGUAGGCUCGUUUAAGUAAGAAAUCGGAACUACAAAUCUUCUUCUUUGGUUCUCCCCAACAUAAACUGCAAUGCAUCCCUUAGGGACAUUUGUACUACGAUCAAAAUUUUUUAAGGAAAAUUGUCUGUUGAGAAUUUGCUUGAGAUUAGUGAUAUGAGGCACACGAAUACCCAUGAUGCUCAAGAAAAAUUGAAACUUCAACGGAUAAUCUCUGGGGAUAUCGAAAAUACAAGAACUUCUGAAGAUGGAAGGCUUAGACCCUUAAUUACACUUGAUUUUGUGAUGAAAUUGGUUGAGGAUAUCACAGUUUUUAUAUAGAAAUGACAAGUAAUGAGUGGUUGAUUUAAAUGCAGAUUGAGUGGCACAGAUGCAUUAGGCAAUAGCACAUGCUAUUCUCUUUCAAAGGCCACACAUAUUUAAGAGUAAUGUCUGUUGAGAGACGUCAAUUCCUACUGCUUCUGUUCAACAAAUCUGGACCUGAUAUAUUCUCAUGUCCUACUGAUAGUGUAGAUAAGACAGAAUAUAACAUAAAAUAUACGGAUAUGAACAAGAUACAGAUAAUUUGGCUGGAAAGUCCUCACUUUGCCUGGAAACCAAGGUAGCAAAUUUUAUGUUGUUAGUUUUUGUGGUCAGUAGUUGUGGGUGGGACAGACAAGUUAGGUACUCAUGUGAUAGUGUUUUCAUUCACCUAGCCUAGCUGUUUAUUUUGUGUAGUAGGAAACACCUGAUACAAGUUGUUAUAUCCAUGAAAGAAAGGGCAAAUUUAUGUAAGAAAUAGAUGACUGUUAGGAUUUUGUGUGUUAGGAUUAUAAGUUUUUAUAUGUUUAUAUUCACAAAACAAAAAGUAAAUAAAAAUAGACGGGUGCUGGUCCCCAGCAUAUGGUUGCUGGGGAGGGUUUAAACAACAUACAGCUCCUGAACUGUUGGAUCAGAUGAGGGACGGCUGAGAUAAAAAAAAAAAUGUUCUCGUCCAGCGCUUAAAAACCGCUGAACGGUACACGUAGAAUUUUUUUAUUUUUUUUGUGUCCAGCGCCUAAGAAGCGCUGGAAGCACAGGCAAAUUUCAUGUGCGGCUCUGGAGCCUGUUAUCAAGUUCUCAAAAGGUUUAUUAGCCUUGUUCAUUGAAAAUAGCUCUCAUUCUUGUUAUCAUUUUUUCUAGAAGAUCUUGACAAGCCAAAUGAAUAUAUAUCUUCUGUCUGGGCCUUGGUGCCUCCGGUAACUCCCAAGCCAGGCCCCUGAUUCACCAGAAUUUUAUUAGGAGAUAAUUCCAAAGAUGUGAAGGGUUCUCGAUUUGCAAAAUUCAUAGCUGAAAGACAGAAAAUGCUAAAGAAGAUUUCUGACAGAUAAAUUAGAUAGCUCUUUUAUCAAAUUUCUUCCCAGCAAGUUGUGACAGUUGCCCAAUUCCAGUAUAAAUUAGGAAGAGAACUGCCACCAACUGGAAAUAUACUUUGAAGAUCCACUAGAAGCCAUGAAAAAAUAUAUCACCACAUCUGCUUCUGCUGCAGAAGAAUGAGAGCUAUUUUUAAGAUAAAUGAGGCUAUUAACCUUUUGAGAACUUGAUAAUAGGCUCCAGAGCUGCACAUGGAAUGCGGAAUUUCAGAUGUUGUAUAAGCAUCCCUCCAUCAUGCCUUGUAUUGCUGCAUCAACAUUAAUUUAUAUCUUCUCUGGUUGCCUGUGCUUCCAGUGCGUUUUAAGCGCCGGACACAAAAAAAUAUCCUCUCGUCCAGUGCUUAAAAACCGCUGGAUGUGUACCAUUCAGUGUACACAUCCAGCGGUUUUAAAACGCUAGACGAGAACAUUUUUUCUUCUGAUCUCAGCCGUCCCUCGCUAUAUCCAACGGUCCAGAAACCGUAUGUUGUUUAAACUCUCCCCAACAAUCAUAUACUGGGGACCAACACCCAAAACAGAUUGUUGAAAUAUAGCAUAAGGUCCAUUCUAGGCCUUCCUCUAACACUUUAAGGUUUCAGAUGGAUUGUUUUUCAACAUGGUAUCAGCCAUCAGGGCUCUGAUUUGGCGGAGGUCUCAAAUGUCCACGUAGGCAUUAAUUACCCCAAAGAUGGGCGCCCGUGAUUCCCUCUUUAACCCAAAAAUGGGACUCCAGACCGCGUCUUCACUAAUUCCUUGAGAGCCGUCAUUUUGGCUCACAACUUCACCACUUCUGAUGAAUGACCUUUACUUGAGCAAUCCUCCUUCAAUUCCUCAUGCUCCGACCAAUCAUCUGCAGAUGCUUUCUUCUUGCGUCGAAACGAGCUAUACGAGCCAACCGAAUCCUCCCUUCUAGAGCGUUCACUAUACGCUGAACCUCGAAAGGAGGAUUCGUAAUCCUCUGUUGGAUACUCGGAUGAAGCAACAUGCUCAUCCUUCUUUUUCGCAAAUUCCUCUUCCCAUUUCUCAGCCUCACGCCUCUGCUUCAUCUGAAACUCUAUCCGUCUCCGCUCGCGGUCAAGGGUGUCAAGUUCGCUCUUGAUCGCUUCACGGUUCAACUGCUCCUUAUCUUCAACAGCCAAUCUUUUGGCCUUAAGCUUCUCUAAAUGCAAUCUCGCAUCACCAGAAUGUGCCUUUUUACCUUGCGGCGUCACUGCCAGUGUGCGUGUACGGCGACGUCGCCUACUACCACCUCCGGUAGGAUCCGAAUAAGCCGGACCACCGCGAGAUUCACCUGCUCUAGUUUCGAACAGCUUUUUGUGUUUUAGUGUCUAUCUCCUUAGUUACUAUCACCUCUCGUGUUUCCAGAACUUGUAUCGUCUCCCUCGCUUCAUCUGCCAUGGUAGAUCUGCCCCCUCCUUCUAGCGCCAAAUGCUGAUCUGCCCUCUCCUUCUAGCGCCAAAUGCUGGAACAGUGUAUGUAUGUUUAUUACAGAGUGUAUGUAUCUAUUCUAUUCUCAGAUUCCAACCCUGUGUUAGCUGCUCUGUUUAUAUAGCACUCUGGCACGUGACUUCCUCAUGCUUGCUGUUUGGGCUUAUUCUUCUUUGGGCUGCCUCUCACUCUGGGCCAAGGCCCAACAACUUCAACAGUUCCAAAGGGUUACUUGGCAGUAUAUAUUGGGGAGAAGCAAAGAAAAAGAUUUGUGGUUUCCAUUUCAUACCUGAAUGAUCCUGCCUUCCAAGACUUGUUAAAUCAAGCUGAGGAAGAAUUCAUUCAUUCACCAUUCAUUCACUAUUCCCUGCUCAGUGGAAACAUUCAUUCACCUUACUUCACGCCUGGAUAGAUUAUAGUGAGAAAACAUUUAUGUACAGGUAGAUAGUACAACACUGAAAUGUAUAUAGUAGAAUAGGGAUUUUGAUCAGAUUUUUGUUGGCAACGGAUAAUUUGAUACUCACCAUUUUGUUGAAUUUAACAUCACCAGAAUUUAUCGAUCAUAGUUACUUCUUAUAAAUCUGGAUUAAUAUAAAGAAAAAAAAAACUUGAUUCCCAAAUUAGUAACUUUUUCAUGUAAUAUAUGCACUCCUAAAGCAAAUUCUACAUAGGAAGGGAUUUUGAAGUCUCCUUAUGAUUUGCAUAGAAGGGAAGUGGAUUUGGUGUAUGUUUGUACCCAGAUUUUACAGGCGUCAGGACACGACGUGAACUGCACUGACACGACGGGAAGUACUGGCGACAAGACAUGUAGUGGCAGAUGGAUAAGCAUGAAGACUGGGUCUUAACAAACCCACCUUUUUAGGGGGAGAAUUCAAAUGGAAGUUAGAGAGGUGCCAGGAAUAUAGGAGGAAGUUACAUGCACGUGGGAGUUAAGUGGAGAGAAAAUAGGAGUUGCAUAUGGGAUAGGACUCUUGGAAGACAAGUAUAUAUACGGAGGGCACAUUACACUACUUCUAGGUUAUCUCUACAUGCUGCAUAAUAGACUCUGAGUUAUCUUCUACUCAUUACAUUGUAGUGCAACUCUAAGAGAUUAUCAUCAAGAGACUUCUACACGCCUACAACUUCUUCUUCUACCUAAUACCAUUAUUUUUCUUACGCAUAAACCCCAAACCAAGCCCAAGAUAUACAAAUUGAUACACACACAUAUAUACAUAUAUUAACAUACAAGGAUUUCUCUUCUUCAACUUAUAUCAGCUGAGUUACACAUCUUCAUCUCCCUCAAAUCAUUCUGCCGACGGGUACAUAGAGGUGUCGACGGGUGCACACUGCUGUUGGACGGGUGCAUGCUGCUGUCGGACAUGAACUACUUCUGAAGCCGACGUCUGCGUAUUUUUGUACUUGUAUCUUGCUUUUAUCAUACUUGUAAGCUGAUGUUACAUCAUUAUAGUGGAUAUUUGGCUGGGACAUUCCCACCCGCGGUUUUUAACCUUUUACAAGGGGUUUUCCGCGUCACCAAAAUUGUUUGUGUUCUUGUCUUUUGCUCUCUAUUCGAUAUUCAUCUAUUUGAUCUACUAAACAUUCAUACAUUAAACACUUACUCCAUUGUUAUAGAAAUUAAAUAGGCUUGGCUUUUAACCCCGCAAAUUUUGGUAAAAACAGGUGUUUGACUGGUUGCUCGUUCUGGACUUGAUUCAUAUUGACAGCAGCAUAUCUAUGGGCUGAGAAUACACUGGUUCUAGUUGGUGACUUUAAAAUUCAGUAAUAUGAAAUAUAAUUUUCAUAUGGUGUUAGAAGUUGAGUUUUAGCAUACAUGUUUGAAAAGAGACCAUGCAACUAUUAAAUUGAUCGAGAGAAAUUAUUACACGCCACAAAGGUUUCCUUUAGGAAUCUUAAGUAUCCAAGACUGCAGGCUGUUCCUUCGAUUUUAGGCAUCUAGAAGAUUUUCUGAUUACAAUGAGACAGCAGAUUUUCUUGUGUCUUGGCUACCUGCUGCAUGUAAUUAUAUAUGAUUUAAACUGUGAUGUCAAGUCUGGUCAGAGUUGAAAAGUUAAACUUAUCUACCCAGAACAAUUAAAUGAUGUUCUUGAUAAAAACAGCAAAUUUCAGAUGCAAUGAUUGAGGAACGAAGACAGGUUUACAUAUUAUCUUGUAGGUACUAAAAUGAAAAAAAAGGGAAUGAAACGUCUGGCUUACAUGAAGACUACAAAAAAACCUGCACAACUGAAAUUGGAGGGUGAGUCUGUCAGCUAUUAGAGUGAAAUUGAAUAAACAUGUUAUUUGCAUCCAUCCAAAGAGUUCUCGGUAAUUCCAGGAUAGCAAUAUGUAUGAAUGAAUAGAUACUUAUUAACUAAGCAAAAGAAAUUCUUCACUGAUGAUUUCUAAAAAAACAUAUUUCUGUGUAAUGAGAUGGUUACUUUGAUCUUCCCUAGGUUACCAGAUGGAAGUGGAUUGACUAGUAUACAUUACAAACUGGAACCUUGCAAAAUUGUUAGUACCAGAUAAUAGCUAUUUCAAAUAAAAAAGUACUUACAAAGAUAUAUAAUACCUAAAAGAUUAAAGAUUGCAGAGAUCAAAUCCAUGUAGAAAUUAAUGUGAUCAAAUUACAAUUAAAGUAUCAGCUAUUGCUCUACCUAAAAGAUUUAUAUGGGAGUCAUAUAUAAAAUUUCUGGACUAGUUUACAAAAUUUGUACACUAUCUAACAACAUAUAUAUAAACUCUCAUAAUCUGUUCAACAGAUCAAUGAAGGUGUCUUCUUUGCAUGGAAUUGUCAGGCCUCCUUCAGGAUGACUAAACCCAAAUUCUUCCUCAGCUUGACUUAACAGGUCUUGGAAUGUGGGCUCGUUUAAGUAAGAGAUCGGAACUACAAAUCUUCUUCUUUUGUUCUCCCCAACAUAAACUGCAAUACAUCCUUUAGGGACAUUUGUACUACGAUCAAGAUUCUUUAAGGAAAAUUGUCUGUUGAGAAUUUGCUUGAGAUUAGUGAUAUGAGGCACACGAACACCCAUGAUGCUCAAGAAAAAUUGAAACUUCAAAGGAUAAUCUUCGGGGAUUAUGGAGAAUACAAGAACUUCUGCAGAUGGUAGGCUUAGACCCUCAAUUAGACUUGAUUUUGUGAUGAAUUUGGUUGAGGAUAUCACAGUUUUUAUAUGGAAAUAGCAAGUAAUGAGCGGUUGAUCAAAAUGCAGAUUGAGUGGAACAGAUGCAUUAGGCAAUAGCACAUGCUAUUCUCUUUCAAAGGCCACACAUAUUUAAGAGUAAUGCUAGGACUUGAAUGUCUGUUGAGAGACAUCAUGUCCUACAAAUCUGGACCUUAUAUUUUGUCAUUUAAAUUUAGGUUUUAUGCGUAUAGUGGAGUUAAGACAGAAUAUAACACAAUAUAUACGGAUAUGAACAAGGUACAAAAAAUUUGGGUGGAAAGUCCUCACUUUGCCUGGCAAGCAAGGUAGCAAAUUUUAAGUUCUUAGUUUUUGUGGUCAGUAUUUCUGGGUGGGACAGACAAGUUAGGUACUCAUGUGAUAGUGUUUUCAUUCACCUAUCCUAGCUGUUUAUUUUGUGUAGUAGGAAACACCUGAUACAAGUUGUUAUAUCCAUGAAAGAAAGGGCAGAUUUAUGUAAGAAACAGAUUAUCAGACUUACUACACAACUUUCUGAUUGUUCUAUAUAAACACAUAAUUAAGCUCACUGGUCUAAAGUCUUUUCCAUAAAACUAUACAAGUCCUAGUGUUUAUCCAGUUUCCUGAACUCUUCUCUGAAAGAUCUUUGGUGUCAUGGGUAUCCGUAUGCCUCCUAUUACCAAUCUCAAACAAAUCCUUAUCCGCUCAUCUUACUCUUUAAAUCUCUGGGGAUAUGGAAACUUCUGCAGGUGGAAGGCUUAGACCCUUAAUUACACUUGAUUUUGUGAUGAAUUUGGCAGAGGAUAUCACAGUUUUUAUAUAUUCAUUUAAAGAGAUAUAUUCAUACAUUCACCUGAAUUAAGCUAAAAUUUUGUAAUUUCCCUGAAAAGCCUUCCAAUCUAAUAAAAAUUAAAAUAGAUACCUUAUAUACAAAUUUUAUAANCACCCAUGAUGCUCAAGAAAAAUUGAAACUUCAAAGGAUAAUCUUCGGGGAUUAUGGAGAAUACAAGAACUUCUGCAGAUGGUAGGCUUAGACCCUCAAUUAGACUUGAUUUUGUGAUGAAUUUGGUUGAGGAUAUCACAGUUUUUAUAUGGAAAUAGCAAGUAAUGAGCGGUUGAUCAAAAUGCAGAUUGAGUGGAACAGAUGCAUUAGGCAAUAGCACAUGCUAUUCUCUUUCAAAGGCCACACAUAUUUAAGAGUAAUGCUAGGACUUGAAUGUCUGUUGAGAGACAUCAUGUCCUACAAAUCUGGACCUUAUAUUUUGUCAUUUAAAUUUAGGUUUUAUGCGUAUAGUGGAGUUAAGACAGAAUAUAACACAAUAUAUACGGAUAUGAACAAGGUACAAAAAAUUUGGGUGGAAAGUCCUCACUUUGCCUGGCAAGCAAGGUAGCAAAUUUUAAGUUCUUAGUUUUUGUGGUCAGUAUUUCUGGGUGGGACAGACAAGUUAGGUACUCAUGUGAUAGUGUUUUCAUUCACCUAUCCUAGCUGUUUAUUUUGUGUAGUAGGAAACACCUGAUACAAGUUGUUAUAUCCAUGAAAGAAAGGGCAGAUUUAUGUAAGAAACAGAUUAUCAGACUUACUACACAACUUUCUGAUUGUUCUAUAUAAACACAUAAUUAAGCUCACUGGUCUAAAGUCUUUUCCAUAAAACUAUACAAGUCCUAGUGUUUAUCCAGUUUCCUGAACUCUUCUCUGAAAGAUCUUUGGUGUCAUGGGUAUCCGUAUGCCUCCUAUUACCAAUCUCAAACAAAUCCUUAUCCGCUCAUCUUACUCUUUAAAUCUCUGGGGAUAUGGAAACUUCUGCAGGUGGAAGGCUUAGACCCUUAAUUACACUUGAUUUUGUGAUGAAUUUGGCAGAGGAUAUCACAGUUUUUAUAUAUUCAUUUAAAGAGAUAUAUUCAUACAUUCACCUGAAUUAAGCUAAAAUUUUGUAAUUUCCCUGAAAAGCCUUCCAAUCUAAUAAAAAUUAAAAUAGAUACCUUAUAUACAAAUUUUAUAAGAAGUUAACAGAAACUACCCUAAAAAUUUCACAUUCUACCUCAGAGAUCAGGGAAGUCAAGUUUUAAGGUGUUUUUCGUUAACAGACUGAGACUGGUAUUUUUACGGACAAAUAGAAUUUGCUAACUAAACGUAUUUGAGAUAAGAACCGAUUACAAAAAAUCUACAAGAACGAAUAAUUUCAUGUAUUCUUGAUGCCUAAAAGAUUUUCAUGGAAAGUCUCAGUCAAAUAUAAAAUGUCUGGACUAGUUCACAAAAUUUGUAAACUAUCUAACAACAUUUCAGUAAGUAUGUAUCUGUACAGAUAUAUAUAAGCUCUCAUAAUAUGUUCAAGAGAUCAAUGAAGGUGUCUUCCUUGAAUGGAAUUGUGAGGCCACCUUCUGGAUGACUAAACCCAAAUUCUUCCUCUGCUUGACUUAAAAGGUCUUGAAAUGAAGGCUCAUUUAAGUAAGAGAUCGGAACUACAAAUCUUCUUCUUUGGUUCUCCCCAACAUAAACUGCCAUGCAUCCCUUAGGGACAUUUGUACUACGAUCAAGAUUUGUUGAGGUGAAUUGGCGGUUGAGAAUUUGCUUAAGACUAGUGAUACGAGGAACAUGAAUACCCAUGAUGCUAAAAUCAAAAAUUUGUAGUAUUCAGGAUAAACUCUGCUGAUAUUAAAAUACAAGGACUUUUGCAGAUGGAAGGCUUAGAACUUGAAUACAAUGGAUUAUGUGAUAAAUUUGGUUGAGUUUAUAAUAGCUAUUUUAUAGAGCACAUAGGAAGUAGUAUUGAACAUUUGAUUGAGUGGCACAGAUGAAUUAGGCAUUAGCACAUGCUAUUCUCUCUCAAUGGCCACAUAUGUUUAAGACUAAUGGUAGGACUUAAAUGUUUGAGUCUUGUAGUGUGGAUAAGAGAGUAUACAAAAAUGUUUGAGUCUUGUAGUGUGGAUAAGAGAGUAUACAAAUAAUUUGGCUGGAAACUCUUGAGUUUUAGUUGUGACAGACAAGUUAGGUGCUCAUGUGAUUGUGUUUUCAUUUACCCAUCCUAGCUGUUUAUUUUGUUGAAUUGAUGAAUCAUUUAGUAGAAAACAGUAGCUGCUGGGGAUUAAUCAAGCAGACGUAGUAGGGCUUGAUGUCUCGCAACACACAUAAAUCUAAUCUUCUUGGUCAUAUAUACUUGUAGCUAUCAGAACAUAAUAUCAUGUGCUAGUGUCUACUGCUUCUUCACCACUCGGAUAAUAUUUCUAAUAAAUUCUUUGAGUAGUUCUAUGUUCUAUAUAUACAUAUAUUUAAGCAUUCGUAGAAUUCAUCACAAACUCAAUUGCUUCAAGCUUUAAACUUACAUUUCCUUGUGUUUCUGUUGUUUCCCCCCAACUUUUCACUAAAAGAUCUGUUGCAUCAUGGGUAUUCGUGUGCCUCGCAUUGCUAAUCUCAAAAAAAUCCUCAACCGGUCAUCUUUCCUGAUAAAUCCUGAUCUUACUUCAACAAUUCCAAAGGGGUGCUUGGCAGUUUAUAUUGGGGAGAGGCAAAGAAGCAGAUUUGUGGUUGCGGUUUCAUACCUGAAUUUUCCUGCCUUCCAAGAAUUGUUAAGUCAAGCCGAGGAAGAAUUUGGAUUCAAUCAUCCGGAAGGAGGUCUUACGAUUCCUUGCUUAGUGGACACAUUCAAUGAAAUUGUAGAAUCGGAUUAUUUUAUACAUAUACAUCUAGAGAGCAUAGCACCUUCGAUCUCAUUUGAUGAGCUUCAGAUUGUAAAUUGUAGAAUCGGAUUAUUUUAUAAAUGCUUAUUACAUAUUUACGUAGAGCAAUAAAAAACUCUGUUUUUAAAACAUCCUUUGACAGAUUGAUUAAUAUAGAGCAUCACGGUUAUUUGUAUGUCUGUAUUGCUAAUCUUGAACAAAUCUUGACCAGUAAUUUUGUUGAUAUAUCUGACAUGUAAAUGAAUUUUAAAUAUUUAUAUGCUCCCCUAGUCAGGUUAUGACAUAAACUCUUAUAGUCUUCGACUCUUCGUUUACAUGUUAAGCUAUUCUAGUCACUUCCACGCUGCACCAUGUUGAUAACUGACGAAAAUGUUAACAUUUAAUUUUGUAAUUGACCUAAAAAGAGAUCAGAUUCAUACUGCUUGUACAAAAUAACAAAAUGAAUGAUUAAUUUGAGUCAAACUGGAAAGGAAUGAUCAAUUUGAGUCAAACUGGAAAGGAAUGAUCUACUUGAUAUAUUUGGAUGAAACGAGUGACCAACUUGAUAUUUUUCCUAAAAAAAUAUCAUAGAAAUAUGGAGUAUGAAACUAGCAAGGAAUGGAAGUCGACACAGGAAGAAAGAUUGAGCAAAAUACAAAGAAAUGUUGAGAAUACAUAGUGGUUUGAUUUGAUUUCUCUUUGAUUCUUUUUCGAGUUGAUCUACACCAAACCUUCUUGUGAUCUAUGUUGUUUGGUUAAUUAUCUGUACAGACAAUUGUUCAUAUUAUAUUAUUAAUUAUCAAUGCAGCCACCCCCUAUUCUUUGGAAUUUGAGGGUACUUUAGAUCCUUUAAUUUGAUGAACAAUAACACAAGCAAACCUGAACAGAACUGCUGAAAAAAGUUCUCCAGUAAAUCUCCAAAUUCUGCAGCAGCAUAAAUUUAAUCAUAAGAAUUUGCUUAAAAUUUACCAAAUUAUACACAAAAUUAGGCAAAUGUAUGCAUAAAAUAAGAAGUCAGCAGAAUCACAAACUAAAUUCCGUAGAUUAUAAGAGCAUCGGAGUCCAUAAUACAGAUUGCCUACUAAACUUUGCCGCAGAAAUUUUAUAAAUCAAUAAGUGUUCUAUGAAGACUUACACAACUAAUUUGCUGUAGAAUAGACAAAAUGUUCCUCAAACAAAAAAUUAAAAAUAACCCUAAUAUCAGAAUAUCAUUCAACUGCCUUCAUAGACAUUGAUACAUCCUUAAUCCUUUGAUGUGAGAUUGCUAGUUAAAACAAAAGUUAGUAUUUGGCGGGCUAGAUUGUGGAUAAUACAUGACAUGUCCUUGUAAAAAAAGAAAUUUAAAGAAAGGACAAACUUAUAGGAGAUAUUAAAACCUUCACAAUAAACGGAAGAUGGACAACAAAAGAACUUUUAAGAAAAUAUUCAGAAUCCAGGAAUAGGCUACUAGUAAAGUUGAUCCCCGACCUUUCCUAAUGACAAGGUCUGUGGUUCAUAUCCACACUCCACUUCGCUUUGAAGUCCCGCGUUAUAAGCAUGCAUGUUUUUAUUCCUUUGCCUCAACCUUAAGGUUUAUGUGAUGGAACCUUGCAAGACUAUUUCAACUGUUGAUGAUUAGCAACUUAAGAAGCAGAAUCAUAUCGUUCCGCCAUAAAGUUGAAUGGCAAUAAAAUAAUGAUAAUUAGUCUGCAAGUUCAAAUUACAAAAGUUAGUCUGUAAUCAGAACCUAAAACAGCCUAAAAUAAUAUAGAAAAAAAAGGGUGCCUAAAUUUAACUGAACUGCUUUCUUAAAAAUGGCAGUACAUCUCCUUUAGUCUCAGAUUUUUACAGCUUGUGCAAUCACAUAUGCACAUAUCUAAAAUUUUAUGAGGCUCGUGGUUCGUGAUGUUAAAUGAGACCUUGGUUGUCAGAACUGUGCUGCUGCUACUGGACAUAAAAGAGAACUGUAUUAUUGUUUGCUGCUAUAUUUAUCGGAAUGUUUAACAUAGCAUACUUCAUUCAGAGAAUAUAGAAUAUGAGAUUGACUCCUAAAAUUGACAAAAUCUUGACAGCAGAUGCAAUACAAAUCUGGAAAAAAAGCGCAUAAAAAAAAGUUGCGGACUAAUGGGAAAAACUUUAGCAUUCAGAAUAUUAUGUAGACAUAUCACAAAACAGAAAAUCCUCAUAUUCUGCAAACUAUGCUAAAAUCUGCAGUAAAUCUCUGAAUUAUGCAGAAACCCAGACUCUAUUUCUCUUAAGUUCUUUUGGAUUAUAUCGAGAAACUAAGUUGAUCGAAAAACCUUUAUCUCGCACAUCUACUUUCUGUAAUUCGACUUUAAAAACAAACUAAAAAUUGCACAUUUUUCUCCUUUUUACCCUUAACAAAAACAUUUCAUGAAUAUCCAUCAAGUCUAUAAUAAUUAAAAUUUCAAUAGUAGAAAUUAACUUAUAUACUUGCUUAUGCGGAGAACGGAUUAUAGGUUAGUUUCUAACUAAUUAAUCAAUAUAUUUCCUUGUAUAAUUUAAUUUAUAGGUCAUUUAUUUUCAUGAAUAUUCUUCAAAAGGCUAGGAACCUGCCCACUGGCUCCAUAGCCAACACAGGUAGGUAAUUCGGAGUCUCGGACUAACCGAGCGAUAAGACCCGGUGGGUGGGAACUUCCUUGCGAUACGCACGGAUAGGAACCCGAUCCCCUUUCUUCUGUCUCUUCAACUCGGGUGAACGUCAGGGAGCUGGUGAGGUUCGAACCCAUGACCCUUUGGAUCAAAGCAAGGCCCCGUUUCCACUGGGACAGCUCUCACACUUAUUUUCAAGAAUAUUGCUUUACAUCAAAUCAAGUUAAAAUUUUAUAAUUUCGAUAAAAACCCUUGAAUUGGAAAUAAUUAAAAGAAAAAUAACUUACAUAAAAAUUUAAGAUAAUUAUGCAAAAAAAUACCCCAACAAUUUGAUAUUCUACGUCGAGGAUAAUUUAAGUUUCAAAGCAAAUAAAUAUUUAUGUUUUUAUCAUAUUCACAGAUGGACUUUGCUGUUUAAUUGAGUAUAUACAUAUAGUAUGUAUGAGUUUAUAACCAGUGAUACAGAACACCUUCAAGAAAGAAUAAUUUCAAGAAUUAACACUCAAAUUUUUUUUAGUACUGCAAUUCAUUUCUCAUACAAUGCUCAAGCAAGAAGUGAGUUAAAGGAACAUGUCUACUCUACAUGGAAUAGUAAGACCACCUUCUACAUGAUCAGAUAAAGAUUUCAAGAGAGACUAGCACAUGGGUCUGUAUUUAUGUUACCCUACUGCUUCUUGUACCACUAAAUACAUGCUUCAGACAAGGAUUAGAAUGUUGAUUUUAUGUUUGAUUAUGUUAAAAAUUCAAAUAACUGGACACCUAACUAUUAAAGGCAGAGCUAUCAGACAACUAAGAAAUUUGAUUAUCCUUGGUAUUUGUAGGGCAAGUUGUGUCUUGGUAAGCAGAGAAUAUAUCCCAAACUCCUCCAACCUUGCUAUACAUUCUCUAUUUGUAGGACAUCACCAUGUGCUACUGACUUAUUAUUUCGUUUUCAUUGUUCAAGAAACCUUCUAUAUAAACAUAGGGACUUUGACAUAAAUCAACACAAGCAUACAAGCAAACCUUCAUUUCUUUUAUCAAGCAUCGUCUCAUCCUUUCCUUCUCGACAUCCACUUUAAAAAUACCAACUUAGAAACAUGGGUAUCCGCAUGCCUCGUAUUCCUCAUGUCAAGAAAAUCUUUCAGGGGUCUUCUUUGGCAACUACAGCAGUUUCAGACAUCCCAAAGGGCUGCUUGGCAGUUUAUGUUGGGGAGAGCCAAAGAAAAAGAUUUGUUGUUCCAAUUUCAUACUUGGCUGAGCCUGCCUUCCAGGACUUGCUAUGUCAAGCUGAGGAAGAAUUCGGUUUUGAUCAUCCAGAGGGGGGUCUUACAAUUCCCUGCAGAGAAGAUGUAUUUACAGAUCUCGCCUCAAGCUUGAGAAGAAAAUCAUAGAGAAGAACAUAAUCAAAAAAGUAGUUUAGAAAUUUUUUGUAAGCUAGUAGGAGAUAAGUUAGAAUAGGUUGGACCAAAGGCAUAAUUAUGCAAAUACUUUCUUCUGGUAUCUCAUGGAAUCAUUUUCAAUGAGGAAGAUCAUUACUUAAAAUUUUGUAAAAUAUUAAACUAUAUACUUCCCAUUAUAAUUUUAUGAUCUAACUAUGUUGUUUGCAAAUAACUUCCUAUCUGUAAUCAGUUCCACGUUAUUCUCAAAUUGAUCGAAAUUGGCAUAUAAGAUUGUGUUAACAGAUAAAUUUAUUGAAAAUCGAUAUGGGAGAAAGAAGCCUCUUAUCUUAUAUUCCUAUAUUUCAGAAAGAAUUAGUCAGAACCUAUCUACAGUUGCUCUGUGAUCAUAUUUACUGUGAAUACUAAAUUGAUCAAGCAUCGACCUGCAUAAACAUACAAUUCUCCUGUAUUUCCAUCGCGAAGAUCAUUGCAUAAAAAGCGGUCAAUUUAUAAACAAUCUAUAUCUCCUAUUAUAUCCUUUGACCGGAUUAUUUAGCUUGAUUGCCUUCCUCAUUUACAUCAUUUCCACAUAAUUCAGCAAUUAAAUCAACAGUUGCAUCUAAUUGUGUGUAAGAAGUAUGGUUUCAUGAAGAACUUGAAUGUCUUUUCCCUAUAUAUGGUUUCUCUCUGACAUUUGUUUCUUUAGAGGGAAUUGAUCUUUUCCCUAUAUAUGGUUUCAUGAAGUACUUGAAUGACUAUCUCUAUAUAUUUGUUUCUUUAGAGGGCAUGCCGAAAACACUUUAAAAAGGUAAAAACAAUAUACUAAUUUUCUUUUGGACUGUUCUGUAGAAGGAUAUGUUCAUUAAACCUUUUCUGACAGUCAAUUUAUUUCUGGUGGUUUCUAUUUCUUCAUGUUUUAUCUCUUAGGUAGAAAAAACAUUGUCACAUGAAGACCUAAUAUGUGAAACCCGCCAUAAAAUUAUUGAUGACAUAAUAUGCAAAUUGUAGGACAUCACGUGUUUAUGUAUACCAUUUCAAGAUAAUGUCACUUUCUGUAAUCUAUUGUGGAUGAUUUGGGUAGAGAUUUGAUAAGUAGGGGCAUGCUGUCUUGCAACAGACAGAGAAGUCAUUCUAUCACUCAUAAAUACAUGUAGCUAUUGAAAGAGAAAAUCAUGUGCUAUUGUCUAAUGCCUCUUCACCACUUGAAGUACAAAUUGAUGAACUGUUCAAUAUUUUCUAUUUUUGUAUAUAAAUACAUAACAGGGCAUUAAUAAAUUCAUCACAAACUCAAUCAUCUAAAGUCUUCACCAUACAAGUUCUUUUCUUUCUCCAUAUUCUCUAAACAAUCUAGGAGUAUUAUGGGUAUUCAUAUGCCUCGUGUUACUAAUCUCAAGAAAAUCUUUAACCCGUCUUCUUUCUUGAUAAGUCCUGAUUAUACCUUAACAGUUCCAAAGGGGUGCUUGGCAGUAUAUAUCUUGGAGAAGCAAAGAAGAAGAAGACUUAUCAAGAAAGAAGACGGGUUAAAGAAGAAGGGGGAUUGUCUAUUACAUUACAAACUAGAACCUUCCAAAAUUGUUAGUACCAGAUAAUCUGAAGUGAGGUUAAUGAAUGUUUUCUCUACAUGGAAAAGCCACUUCAGACUAUAAAGACAUGGAAUGUAUAAAGCUACUUAUAUAUAUUUCAAAUAAUAAGUACUUAUAAAGACAUAUAAUGACUACAUACUGAUUGCAGAGAUCAAAUCCAUGUAGAAAUUAAUGUCUCAAAUAUAAAAUUUCUACCUACAAGAUUUAUAUGAGAGUCAUAUAUAAAAUUUCUGGACUAGUUUACAAAAUUUGUACACUAUCUAACAACAUAUAUAUAAACUCUCAUAAUCUGUUCAAAAGAUUAAUGAAGGUGUCUUCUUUGCAUGGUAUUGUGAGGCCACCUUCUGGAUGACUAAACCCAAAUUCUUCCUCAGCUUGACUUAACAGGUCUUGGAAUGUAGGCUCGUUUAAGUAAGAUAUCGGAACUACAAAUCUUCUUCUUUGGUUCUCCCCAACAUACACUGCAACGCAUCCCUUAGGGACAUUUGUACUACGAUCAAGAUUUUUUAAGGAAAAUUGCCUGUUGAGAAUUUGCUUGAGAUUAGUGAUAUGAGGCACACGAAUACCCAUGAUGCUCAAGAAAAUUAAAACUUUAAUCUCGGGGGAUAUGGAAAAUACAAGAACUUCUGCAGACUGAAGGCUUAGACCCUCAAUUACACUUGAUUUUGUGAUGAAUUUGGUUGAGGAGAUCACAGUUUUUAUAUAGAAAUAACAAGUAAUGAGCGGUUGAUCAAGAUGCAGAUUGAGUGGCACAGAUGCAUUAGGCAAUAGCACAUGCUAUUCUCUUUCAAAGGCCACACAUAUUUAAGAGUUCAUACGAAGGUCAUCGACAUACAUAUAAUGGCUGGAAACUGUCAAGUUCGACAGGCAAGGAAUCAAAUCUUAUGCUUUUAUUGGUCAAUAGUCUUAGGUGGGAUAGGCAAGUUUGGUGCUCAUGUGACGGUGUUUUCUUGACCUAUCUCAGCUGCAUCUUUUGUUGAAUUGAUGUCUGUUUAAAACAGAUUAUCAGAUUAAAUGGAUCCAACAUCUUUGACAUGGUCUAGCUGCAUUAUGUCAAAAUAUCAACUUGGAGCUGGAAGAAACAGUGUCACAUGAACACUUAUGAUUUCAACCCCACCAUAAUCAGUGCAGACAAACCCAAAACAUAAAAUCCAUAUCAUGCCACCCACCUAUUGAAAGAGAAAAUCAUGUGCUAGUGUCUAUACUCACCGCUCAAUGUAGAAUUUGAUGAGAUGUUCUACACAACUUCCUGAUUGUUCUGUAUAAACACAUAACUAAGCGAUACUAACAUUCAUCACAAACUCACUGGUCUAAAGUCUUUCGUAUAACUAUACAAGUCCUAGUGUUUCUUCAGUUUUCUGAACUCUUCUCUGAAAGAGCUAUAGUGUCAUGGGUAUCCGUAUGCCUCGUAUUACUAGUCUCAAACAAAUCCUUAAUAGCUCAUCUUUCUUAUUAAAUCCUGAUCUUACUUCAACGAUUCCAAAGGGGUGCUUGGCAGUUCAUAUUGGGGAGAGGCAAAGAAGCAGAUUUGUGGUUCCUAUUUCAUACCUGAAUGAGGCUGCCUUUCAAAAAUUGUUAAUUCAAGCCGAGGAAGAAUUUGGAUUCAAUCAUCCGGAAGGAUGUCUUACAAUUCCUUGCUCAGUGGACACAUUCAAUGAAAUCACUUCGCGCCUGAACAAUUUAUAUACUUUUAGAUAGUAUAGCACCUGCGAUCUCAUUUAUUGAGUUUCCGAGUGUAAACUGUAGAAAAUACAGAUUUUGUAGGGGAAGCAUAAUUUGAUACUCAAACUUUUUGAACAUAUUGACCAUCACUUAUGCUCAUGGAUACUUGUUAUUUUCUAUAAAGCAUAUCACUAAGUGUUUGCCGAUAAACUUUAUGCCUAAACCAAAUCGAUCACCAACAAAAUUACAGUUUCUGUAGUUACUCUUUGAUACCUAAAUCUUGCAAUCGUCUUCAAAAAUCAGCACUGACACAAGGUGAGUUUGCUAGCUCAAAAAUCAAAAUUAAAAUUUAUAAACAGUUCUAAAUAAUUUAUAAAUAUAUCUGUUGCAUAGUCAGUGGCGAAACCAGAACUAAAAUUUUGGGGUGGCUCAAAUAUUUAAUUAUAUUCCUAAGCAGUUUUAUUACUGAUGGUUACAUCAAAAAGAGAUGAAAUAUUGUUAUAUGAUGUGAACCCCACCGUGUAUCUCCCAGUCGAGUUAAACAAGUUUCUUGAUUCUUCCUUUUUUCCUGAAAAUAUCUCACCACUUUCUAAACAUUUCAGUGUAAGUUCAUAAUGUCUUUGUCGAAACAUAUCCUUUCUCUUACACGAAGCAUCAACCAAUUCACAAUACGACAGAGAUGAUCAAAAAAAUCACUUACUACAUGAGAACAUUUAGCCAUAGCAACAACUAAUAACCGCAAUUUCAUGACUCUCCUGGUGAUAUAAAGUAAUGCAAUAUCAUGACUCUCGUGGUAAUUUAAAGUAAUUCGAGAGUACCAAAUUAGACUACCACAAUUCAAUAAUUCAGAACUAACAAAAAAGUCUAAAUUAUCAUUCUAAUUUAAAGACUUCCCAUAUCAAUUCAGGAUCAAACGACAACAUAUGUGUUAGAGCACCUUUUAAACUCUAGUUCUCGGGCAUCCCCCAAUUAAUAAUUUCAUUAUACAAAAUCAUGAAAGAUACAAAAAUAUUAAAGACUAACAAUUUAUCCAAGAAUCAAGAAACUCAAUCACAAAAAGUGAUAAAAAUUUCUGGCAAAAAAAAAGUGAUAAAAAUAAAAGGAUAAUCAAUCAAUUUAAUCAAUUUAUCAUACCUUGAAAUUUGGAAAACAAGUGAGAAGUCAGAGUAUUGAGUAAACACGGAAACACUGAGUGAAUCUAGAGAGGGAAAUAGAAGGAUAACGUUAGGUGUACUUUAUUCUGACAUUUUAAAAAAUUAUGUUGACAUCUAUAAUUCAGCAGAAGCUAAAAAAUAUAUACACCGUCAGUGGCGGUGCCACACUGGGGCCUGGGGGGACACGUGCCCCCACAAGUUUCCCUUUGUGGGCCUCACAUAUUAGUAAUACUCGUAUGUUUUGUCAUUUGUGUCCCGAAUAAAUUACUAAAUCUCUCUAUGAAAUCAUCUCAGCUUCAGUCUAUUUCAGUUCUAGCAGUAGUUUAAGCAUGACCAUGCUUCUUUAGGAUUUGUAUGUCUAAAUCAGUUGUGGUAGCAAGUUGGUUUUUAAAUAAGAUUUGAAGGGUAGGAUGUUUAGCCAGGUCUGUUUGUUCCAGUUUGUAGUAGUUGCUGUUCGAAUUUGUAAAACUAAUUAAGUAAUAUAUUUUGAGUAUAAUCGAAAAAUUAAAAGUGUCCCCCUUGAAUAUUUUGUCUGGCUCCGCCACUGUACACCGUUCUUAAUUUCGAGGUCAUGGGUAGCUUUAGCAUCCUCUAGCCCCCUCUGGUUUCCGCCACUGUGCAUAGUUUAAUCUAUAUAAGUCAUUUAUUAUCGUGAAUACUCCUUUUGCUCCUGAGCCUAUGAGAUAUUAGCGAUGCGCGUAUAAGUAGAAGUUUACAUGAAAGUCUCAGUCAGAAUUACAAUUCCUAGACUAGUUCACAAAAUUUGUACACUAUCUAACAACAUAUAACUAUGUACAUAUCUGUAGACAUAUAUAAACUUUCAAAAUCUGUUCAACAGAUCAACGAAAGUGUCUUCUUUGCAUGGAUAUGUGAGGCCACCUUCUGGAUGACUAAACCCGAAUUUUUCCACAACCUAAGAGCAUCUCCAACGCGUUGGCUAUAAUCGAUGGCUAAACGGGACCUGUAAGACAUUAUGUAAAAUUUGUUGAACUUGUAAGACAUUUUGCUUCAAUGGUAUUGGCUAUAUUGGAUGGCUAUAAUUUAAAAAUAGUAUGUUAUUAAUAUUUUUUUUUGCCAGUGUAUGUUAUUAAUAUUUUAGAUUGUUAAAAUAGAAUAUAUCAGUAUGGUAAUAAAUGAUGUGCAAUCUUUCUAUAGAUUUCUUACAGACCUGUAGAGGUUCGACAAAUUUAGCCAUCCGUAGGAGGUUGGCUAAAAUUAUAGACAACAGCUGGGUAUGGUUGGAGUAUGUAUUUUUCGAGCUGUUGGCUAAUUUUUUUUAUUUUUAGUAUGCCAACUCAGCUAAGGGCUUUCAAUGGUUGGAGAUGCUCUAACUCAACAUAAAUUGCCAUAAGAGCAUCUCCAAUGGUGUUGGCUACAAUCGUUGGCUAAAUUGAACCUAUAAGACAUUAUGUAAAAUUUGCUGAACUUGUAAGACAUUGUGCCUCAAUGGUAUUGGCUAUAUUGGUUGGGUAUAGUUUAAAAAUAGUAUGUUAUUAAUAUUUAGAUUGUUAUAAAUAGAAUAUAUCAGUUUAAUAUGGUAAUAAUUUAUAUGUAAUGAGGAAAAUAAAUUGCGGGAAAUGACGUGGAAUUCACUACAGAUCUGGAGUGGUUCGACAAAUAUAGCCAUCCAUAGGGGGAUGGCUAUAAUUAUAGACAAGGGCUCACCAUGGUUGGAGUGCUCUUUUUUGUGAACAUUGGCUAUAGUUUUUAAUUAUAGUAAGCCACCUAGAUUUUUACGUAAAGGCUUCUCCUGGUUGGAGAUGCUCUAAGCCUUUUAAUUAACCCCUUAUUCUCGUAUAAUCAAGGGUGAAUAUAAGCAGCCAGUUAAUAUUAUUUAAUAAAAUUUCAGUUCAUUACUAUUAAAUUGAUGUUAAUUUGAUCAUAAAUAAUAAUUUAAAAUUAUAUAGUAAUCGUUUGUUAACACAGGUUUAAAAUUAGUAUUACUUAAAACAUAGUAUAUAAAUUGGAGAAGGGCCUGUUACGAUAUCAACGGCCCAACAUAGACACCCUUUUAUCCAAUCGUUUUUAUAUGGAUAUAUAAAAAUAUUUAAGGGUUUUAUAUCAAAUUGCUUAUUCAACUCUGCAAAAUAUAUCACGUAGAUAUUUGAUCUCCACGACUACUCAUUUAAACCACAACAAUAAUAUAUAUAAUUUUGUUGAUUUUUUUCCCAUACCCAAUAUUUAGCAAUAUAUGGUUGGUUUGUACACAGGGAUGUAUGCACACUGGGGCAGUGGGGGUACUUGCCCCCAGUGAGCUGCAUAGUAUUUAGUAACUUAUAGUAUACAUAUUUCACAAAUUGAGGACUUGCCCUCAUGGUUCAAACAUGGGAUUUUGGUGGAAUAAGCCAUAGUUCGACUCCUGGCAACAACAGUUUCCUCUUUUAGGCCUUCUCAUUUUUAAGCCUCUCCUGCCUUCCCCUCUUUUUUAUCUAUAUUAAUGUUUAGCAGUAUUAUUGCCUCUCCUGCCUUCCCCUCUUUUUUAUCUAUAUUAAUGUUUAGCAGUAUUAUUGCCUCUCCUGCCUUCCCCUCUUUUUUAUCUAUAUUAAUGUUUAGCAGUAUUAUUGCCUCUCCUGCCUUCCCCUCUUUUUUAUCUAUAUUAAUGUUUAGCAGUAUUAUUACUACUCAUAUUUAUUAUUAUAUUUAUAUUUUGAUUUGUAUUAUUUUAGUAGUUAUAGUAGCUCUGAAAUUAUAAAUAUCAUGUAAAAUUUUCCACGGUUUACACGGUUUUUAACCUAGGGCGGAGCGGUUGCAGUUCGAAUUUUUCACUAAGCUGCCUAUGCAGUUUAGAAAAAAACCACCGCGAUAGUUUUACUUGAACAAGUAGCUAGCUUUAUCUUUAUAUUUUUCAUCCUAGUUGAAGUUACAUUUGAGAUAGUAAGAGAAGCUUGAGUUGGAAUAUAAGUGUUUUCUUUGAUUGCAUUAUUAUGUUAACAGAAUUUCGUUACCACAUCAGUAAUUUCGUUAUCACAUCAACAUUGUUGUCCAAAAAUUUUAAAAUAAUUAACGAAAUGAUAUAUAAUAGUAUUUUAGUGGUUUAAAUGAGUCGUCGUGAAGAUUGAAUAGCUACAUGAUAUAUUUUGUUUAAUUCGGUGAGCAAUUUGAUAUAAAACCCGAAUAUUUAAUACAGCACACUCGUAGAAGCCAUCAAGUCCCUCCUAGAGUCCUAGGUUUAACAAAACAAAUUUGCCUACAAAAUCCGUUCUCUUUAACCCCUUAUUCUCAUAUUGAAUAAGUGAAGAACAGUAAGAAAUUUGACAAGCAUAAAAGGUGAAGAAUCAAGAGAAAAGCUGAUGGGUUCUAACGGGAACAAAAGAGGAAGCAAAAGAAAAGCAGGGAGACCCAAAAAUAAGAUGAAAAGAAUUGAUGAUUUGGGUAAAAAAAGUGAGGAGAUUGUGAGAGACAGUGUGGAUCAAAGGACUGUUCUUGAUUUGGAUGCCAUUGUUAGAGAUUAUAUCAGCAGAACCCGUNNNNNNNNNNNNNNNNNNNNNNNNNNNNNNNNNNNNNNNNNNNNNNNNNNNNNNNNNNNNNNNNNNNNNNNNNNNNNNNNNNNNNNNNNNNNNNNNNNNNNNNNNNNNNNNNNNNNNNNNNNNNNNNNNNNNNNNNNNNNNNNNNNNNNNNNNNNNNNNNNNNNNNNNNNNNNNNNNNNNNNNNNNNNNNNNNNNNNNNNNNNNNNNNNNNNNNNNNNNNNNNNNNNNNNNNNNNNNNNNNNNNNNNNNNNNNNNNNNNNNNNNNNNNNNNNNNNNNNNNNNNNNNNNNNNNNNNNNNNNNNNNNNNNNNNNNNNNNNNNNNNNNNNNNNNNNNNNNNNNNNNNNNNNNNNNNNNNNNNNNNNNNNNNNNNNNNNNNNNNNNNNNNNNNNNNNNNNNNNNNNNNNNNNNNNNNNNNNNNNNNNNNNNNNNNNNNNNNNNNNNNNNNNNNNNNNNNNNNNNNNNNNNNNNNNNNNNNNNNNNNNNNNNNNNNNNNNNNNNNNNNNNNNNNNNNNNNNNNNNNNNNNNNNNNNNNNNNNNNNNNNNNNNNNNNNNNNNNNNNNNNNNNNNNNNNNNNNNNNNNNNNNNNNNNNNNNNNNNNNNNNNNNNNNNNNNNNNNNNNNNNNNNNNNNNNNNNNNNNNNNNNNNNNNNNNNNNNNNNNNNNNNNNNNNNNNNNNNNNNNNNNNNNNNNNNNNNNNNNNNNNNNNNNNNNNNNNNNNNNNNNNNNNNNNNNNNNNNNNNNNNNNNNNNNNNNNNNNNNNNNNNNNNNNNNNNNNNNNNNNNNNNNNNNNNNNNNNNNNNNNNNNNNNNNNNNNNNNNNNNNNNNNNNNNNNNNNNNNNNNNNNNNNNNNNNNNNNNNNNNNNNNNNNNNNNNNNNNNNNNNNNNNNNNNNNNNNNNNNNNNNNNNNNNNNNNNAAAGGUGAAGAAUCAAGAGAAAAGCUGAUGGGUUCUAACGGGAACAAAAGAGGAAGCAAAAGAAAAGCAGGGAGACCCAAAAAUAAGAUGAAAAGAAUUGAUGAUUUGGGUAAAAAAAGUGAGGAGAUUGUGAGAGACAGUGUGGAUCAAAGGACUGUUCUUGAUUUGGAUGCCAUUGUUAGAGAUUAUAUCAGCAGAACCCGUGAAUUUCGCAAAGAUGGUCAAAAAAUUUGUUCUGUCAGUAGCAGUGAUGAUGAUGAACAUCGGAAUCAUGCAAAUAAAAUCAAGGACAAGGAGAUCAUUGUUGGUGGUAGUGGUAAAGAUGAUGAUAAUGAUGAUCAGAAUCAUAAAAAUAAAAAUAAGGACAAUGAGAUUGUUAUUAGUAGUGAUGAUGAUGAUGAUGAUGUUGCUGAGGAUGAUGAUCAGAAGAUUAGAGAUGAACAUGAUGUGGAGAAGGAGGCUACGGCCCCCCAAUGUGAAGAGCACGACGGAUAUCCUCCGGAAGAAGCUCUGUCUUCAGCAAAGAGACGCAAGAAUGGUGCAAUGGGAAAAGAUGAUGAAAAGAUUCAGAAGAUAGGGAGUAGGGGUUGGAACAAUAAUGAAAAAGGUAAAGAUGGCCAGACAAGUCGAGUUUGUAAGUCUGCUGGUUCUAAGCAAAAGGGUGGCGUAAUGACAGAUGAGAAUGUAUGUUUGCCUCCCUGUUCUGUUAUAUAACUCAUUAACAGCUGCAUUACAAUUCAUUGGGAUUUGUUCGCCUGCCACGUGACCGGUUUCAGAUGUCUUCAUCUCAUUAAUUGCUGCUAACAAGGCAAACCGAGAUCCGGUGCCCGUAAUGUAAUAUGUCUAGUCUCCUAGUGCCCUUUGGGUUAUAUGCUCGGCCUCCCUGUUCUGUUAUAUAACUCAUUAUUAUAUGCUUGGCAUUAUGUUUCUAUUAAUACCUGAGAAGCAUGAGAAAGGGUGUGCAGAAAUUAGGCAGCCAAUAACAAAACUAACUAAAGCAUGCAAACUGAAUCAGAUACAUUAUAUACGGAUCUAAGACAUAAGAAUUUACGUCAAACCGUUAAUUUUUGUUACACAAAUCUCAAAAAAAGAAAAAAAAUUGGUUGAGACUAAGACUUUUGAGUACCUAAUACAGGAGUGCGUAUGGAGGGACAGGGAUUUGUUAGGUUACAGAAUAAUCCAUGUUUCUGCGUUAAUACUUUAUGUGUAUUGCUUAUAAGUUUUACAAAUUUAUUUGGGUGUUUAUGCUAACAGGGAAAUCCGAUAUCAACUAUGUGUCACCAGUGCCAGAGGAAUGACAAAGGUAGGGUCAUGGUAUGCAAUAACUGUAAUAAGCCUCAACAUAAAUUGCCAUAAGCCUUUUGGAAUAACAAGCACUGUUGAACUAGCAAGAUAUCUGAACACAGAAGACUGAUGGAUACUUUUCUUAACAUGAGAAAUAACAGUCAUACGGUUUUCAUGGUGUAAUAACAAAUCGACAAGAAUGAUUAUAGAAUGAAAGUAGAGGUGGAUGAAAAUUUUGAUGGUUCGGCUAAUUAGUUUAUGUUGACUUGGUUGCAGUUCCCUUUCUCUGCGAUUAUAUAUAGAGGGGAAAUGAAAUAUCAUUUAAAUUAUGAAAUAUCCAGACGCCUUUCUCUUUGGCUCACCACAUAGAUUAACAACUCAGAGGCAAUAUCUGUUUCUGCUAGGAAACAUCUCAUAUUCCCAAUUGAUUGCUUAUGUGCACCACCUCAAAAAUUAAUACUUCUGCAUCAGAUAAAGAUUUCAAGAGAGGGGUUGCUGGUGCUCCAUACAAUAUUUGCGGAAAUCAAUAGACGCAGACCUCCAAGAUUUACAAACACCGCUAAAUGACAGGUAGUCCACGAUACUUAAUUUUACCAAAAUUGACACCAGAAGUUCAACAGGAAGAAUGCCCCAUGCUCCUCAAACUGUCACCCGAUCUCCUGCAUAUCCUUUUCCGUUCUCUUCCUUGUUUUACUGGUCGUGGAGCAUUCCUGUUAACAAAGAGGGAAACGAAGAACUCACCACAAAGCUAGAUUGAUCAUGCACAGUCAAAUGAAUUUUAUUUAGAAAGAGUCAGUGGUUUGUUGAAAACAGAAUGCAUUACUUUUACAGAUGUUUCUUAAGGACAGAUUCAUCCUUUGCAAGAUUUAAAAGAACUUGAUUUAACACAUAGAGGAGAAACUAGAGUUGGAUUGUUCCUUUUGCCAGUACAGUAAAAAGUUCUGCAGCUAGACAUUAGAAGAUAAUAAAGCUUACUGGAAGCUAAUUCACUAAAGGUUCACAUAUUAAAAUGAAAAUCAGUGCAUAGUUUAAUCAGAACUGGAUUAAGAGUGUGCAAACUUAACAUCUUUCCGAUAUGAGAACUUCAACGUCCCCCAGUAAGAAUGCAAUCAUCCUAAUGAACCAUAACUAGAUUUAUAAGAGGUAGUUUGGUUAACAUGUAAAUCUCCAGGAAUUUAAAGUUCCUAGCAAAUUGUAAGAUUUUUUUGUUGACCGCUAUAUGGAAAGUGGAACCUCCUAGGAAAUUGGAAUUUCCACAUAAUGUAGAAACUUGCUUAUGUCACACACUGGUACUGCAAAUUCCUACACCACAACCAAACAUGUUUUUUAACUUCCCAGGAACUUGAUAAAGGAACUAGGAGGCCAGUUGGAGAAUUUAGAAUCAAGGUCCAACUGGCAUAUGAUACUUUUACGAUAUAGCAGUCUAGUUUACAAAGGCACAACUAUAUACGUAAUGCAUACUUCAAGAGAAAGUAGGGAACAUUUAGAUUAAAGUUUUAGUAGACAAUGAGUGAAGUAUAUUCCAUGUUUAUAGUAGAAUUCCUUAGGGUCCAAUGGUGUUCUUUGUAUUGUUCUAUGUUUAUAUCCAUACUCUUGAGAGGCAAUCUCUCUAUCUCGGUGCUUAGUUGCUCUCUAUGCAUUUUAUUAAAUUUUUGGUUGUUGAAACGAUAAAUUUGUAUACGACAUAGUGGUGAUUAUACAAUACAGGCCAAGUAAUUUUUUGAACUCGUCUGAACGACGAGAAUGUAUGGGGUUUGCGGUUGUUAAGGAGAACUAGGGAUAUGGCUUACAUGCAUUUUGUCCAGGUAAGGUGUUGCUUGUAAUCAUACAUCUCACUACACGUACACCAUUUUUUGCUUACCUUGGAAUCCCUAGAUUUUUUUUUUUGGACCAGAUCUCUGUGAAAUAAGAAUCACCAACUGUGUGAUCUAGCAUUUACAACCAUACCUGCGACUUGCAUUCUAGAUUUGAAAUGAGAUUUGCUUGAAGUACUUAGACUCUAUGUCAUAUAUUACUAGAAAUACAAAUUAUUUUAUGUUAUUUCUCCAGACAUGUAGCACUCCCGACCAACCUCAAUGGUGUUGGAAUAUUGGGAUGAUUCUUAGAAGCUGUAAAUUUACAUUUGGUUAUAGAAGUGGAGAAGCAAUGCUCAUUGCCCAUUUAAAAUAAGUAUACAAGAUAAACAAGAGCUUAGAAGCUUGCAGAGAAAGAGAAAAAAGUAGAAGAAAUCUCUGUAAAAAAUAAAUUGUGGGGGGACUUGCAUGUAUUACUACAAGAAAACGCGAAUCUCUUAACCAAAUUUACCAACGGAAAUUCUGUUGGCAAAUUACCAACCGAAAAUCUGUUGGCAUAUUGGACAUCUCACUGAAGUCAACACACCAAGUUUCCGUUGCAAAAUUACCAAAGGAAUGUAUAUUUCCGUUGGUAACAGUUUACCAACCAUGAUAUUACUAACAGUUUAUUCCGUUGACACUUCGUUUUGCCAACGGGAAUUUGUGUUUACCCAAUGGAAAAUUCCGUUGGGGAAUUCGCGUUUUUUUGUAGUGUGGAAACUGCAGAAGCAUGGAAGUGAUCUGAUAAAGGUACGAGAAUAAUGAGUCUUUAAAAGUAAUGAGGCUUUAAAAGAUGUGUUUAUUGAUUAUAAGUAAAAAUUUAUUUAUAAAUGAAAAUUAACUUUUAAUUUAUGUGUUUUGAUUUUUUUUAUAUUUAUAGGGUAUAAAAUUUUAUAAUAUAAUAACAAAUUAUCUUUUAAAGUGGUCCUUUACUUCUUUGUAAAAUGAAAUUUCAAAAAUAAAAAUAAGUCACUGAAAAAGUUAAGAUUUUUUAGCUUCUCAUAUUCUGCCUUUUAAGUCAGAAGUUCAUACACAAACAAUACGAAUGAGUUACUUCUGACUUAUAAGUCUAAAUGAUGGGCUUUUAAGCCGUCCCAAUCUUUUUGUCCGCCUUAUUAAGAAAAUCAAGGGAUAAUUAAUUCAAACGUCCCUGAACUAUAGUCUGUUUAUUGUCUAGGUCCCUAUCCUAUUUUUCUCAAUAUUGCGAUCCUUAAACUUUCAAACUUUUCUGAUUCGCAUCCUUCCGUUAAAAAUCAACUAACAGACGUUAGUCAAUGCUUAUGUGGCAGAUAAAAAAAUAAAAUUAAAAAAUUAUCAAGUACCAGUUUUAGUAGCAUAAGUACACAUGUCAUUAACAAUAUCUUCACUCCACAAUAAUUGACAAUUAUCAAGUGACUCACCCUCCUUGUGCCAAUAUAUCUUAUAGUUUUUAUACCCAAGCCUCUUCUCUACCAAAUCUUUACAUGAAUCAAGACAAAUUGUAUCUAUGCUCUGGCAGUAAACUAGUUCUACUUUACCUUCUUCAUAGAGCCGUAUGCGAUUUUUGUAAGUAAACACUCCCCCAUGAUAAAUUCGAAUAUUGACAUAGUAAAUCCCCAUCCCUGCACAUAUACACACAAUCAAUAAGAGAAAAGUAUAUACAUGUAUAUAUAUGAUCUUGUAUGUCUGUACAUACCUCAUAAGAUAGAAGGAUCGCUGUCAAUCGAACCCUAGUUUAGUGAAUAAAGAAAAUCCCCAAUCGCUCUAGAACCCUAAUUUUCGUGUGUUAGUACGUUGCUUAGCGAAUGUUAGGUGCGUGGAUGUUUUAUUUUUGGACUUAAAUUGACUUAACUUAAAUUGGUUUUAAAAGAUGACAGCUCAGAUUUUAAUUUUUUAAUUUUAUUUUUUGAUCUGCCACGUAAGCAUUGACUAACGUCUGUUAGUUGAUUUUUAACGGAAGGAUGCGAAUCAGAAAAGUUUGAAAGUUUAAGGAUCGCAAUAUUGAGAAAAAUAGGAUAUGGACCUAGACAAUAAACAGCCUAUAGUUCAGGGACAUUUGAAUUAAUUAUCCCGAAAAUCAAUCAAUUAGACUGUAUAGUAGACUAUGCAUGUGAAUCUAGAGCACUUGUGAAGAGAUACAAUCUGCAUUAGAAAGUCUGGAUAUGGUUGUAAAGUUGAACAAUAUUAGUUUGGCCAGAAAGAACUCAUUUGAGCAAGAGGAGUUUGUUUGAAAGGACAGACUUAGAGGCCCUUCAUUCAGAAAUUACAAAAAAAAUUUUUUCAAAUGAGAAAGAUCAGCUUCUUGAAAAUUAACUUAUCUAUUCGUCACCACAAUAAUUCAGAAACGAAGUAAUCAUCUAUAAAUUAAACUUUGAUUAACAAAAAUAUAUAACUAUAUUAAACUGCAGAAACUUCAGCUUCAAAUUGGGAAUUUUUUACCUAAGAAUUUGUCUUAUACAUGAACAAACUUGGUGUCAAUAAGAAAUAAAGAAAAUGACUUUUGAAAUCUGGUGCCUCUAAUGCAAACAUUACAGCAUCAAUGUAUAAAAGUUUUCAUAAUAGAACUAGUACAAAGUUGCAUUAUGAAAGAUGAAGAUACAAACUAGAGACUUAAUGAGAAAAACUGAUAUCAGAUUUAGAAGUGAUCAUGNAAAAAAAUAAAAUUAAAAAAUUAUCAAGUACCAGUUUUAGUAGCAUAAGUACACAUGUCAUUAACAAUAUCUUCACUCUACAAUAAUUGACAAUUAUCAAUUGACUCACCCUCCUUGUACCAAUAUAUCUUAUAGUUUUUAUACCCAAGCCUCUUCUCUACCAAAUCUUUACAUGAAUCAAGACAAAUUGUAUCUAUGCUCUGGCAGUAAACUAGUUCUACUUUACCUUCUUCAUAGAGCCGUAUGCGAUUUUUGUAAGUAAACACUCCCCCAUGAUAAAUUCGAAUAUUGACAUAGUAAAUCCCCAUCCCUGCACAUAUACACACAAUCAAUAAGAGAAAAGUAUAUACAUGUAUAUAUAUGAUCUUGUAUGUCUGUACAUACCUCAUAAGAUAGAAGGAUCGCUGUCAAUCGAACCCUAGUUUAGUGAAUAAAGAAAAUCCCCAAUCGCUCUAGAACCCUAAUUUUCGUGUGUUAGUACGUUGCUUAGCGAAUGUUAGGUGCGUGGAUGUUUUAUUUUUGGACUUAAAUUGACUUAACUUAAAUUGGUUUUAAAAGAUGACAGCUCAGAUUUUAAUUUUUUAAUUUUAUUUUUUGAUCUGCCACGUAAGCAUUGACUAACGUCUGUUAGUUGAUUUUUAACGGAAGGAUGCGAAUCAGAAAAGUUUGAAAGUUUAAGGAUCGCAAUAUUGAGAAAAAUAGGAUAUGGACCUAGACAAUAAACAGCCUAUAGUUCAGGGACAUUUGAAUUAAUUAUCCCGAAAAUCAAUCAAUUAGACUGUAUAGUAGACUAUGCAUGUGAAUCUAGAGCACUUGUGAAGAGAUACAAUCUGCAUUAGAAAGUCUGGAUAUGGUUGUAAAGUUGAACAAUAUUAGUUUGGCCAGAAAGAACUCAUUUGAGCAAGAGGAGUUUGUUUGAAAGGACAGACUUAGAGGCCCUUCAUUCAGAAAUUACAAAAAAAAUUUUUUCAAAUGAGAAAGAUCAGCUUCUUGAAAAUUAACUUAUCUAUUCGUCACCACAAUAAUUCAGAAACGAAGUAAUCAUCUAUAAAUUAAACUUUGAUUAACAAAAAUAUAUAACUAUAUUAAACUGCAGAAACUUCAGCUUCAAAUUGGGAAUUUUUUACCUAAGAAUUUGUCUUAUACAUGAACAAACUUGGUGUCAAUAAGAAAUAAAGAAAAUGACUUUUGAAAUCUGGUGCCUCUAAUGCAAACAUUACAGCAUCAAUGUAUAAAAGUUUUCAUAAUAGAACUAGUACAAAGUUGCAUUAUGAAAGAUGAAGAUACAAACUAGAGACUUAAUGAGAAAAACUGAUAUCAGAUUUAGAAGUGAUCAUGCGCCAAACUCAUCACUGACACAACUGAUGGACCAAAUUUCACUAGGAAAAUACCAAAAACAAAGUGACGAAUGACCAUCCCAAACAACCGGAGUUGUUCCUAGCUGAUUUCCAUUCAGGUUAAAGAAAGAACAUGUGUUGAAAACUCCUAAGUGAAGAACACAGACACAGUUACCUGCUCCCCAACCAGUUGUAUCGACGACAGCAGAACUGAACCAACUAAAAAAUAAAGAUUUUGCACCCAAGUCAUGAAUCUGUUUUGCUCUAUCCAUUGUCUCAUGGUCAAUUUCGAAUAAUGCCAGAUGUCGGUCCACUGCAGGAUAAGGACAACAAUUGAAUACAGUCAUGUAUAGCUUAUUGUCUGAUGCCACCAACUUCAAAUACAUAUCAGAUGAAACCUGGAAAGGGAUGCUGAUUUUGGAGAGCUUUGGAACAGAACCUGCCUUCGGAUUAAAUUCUCCAAAACGUAAAUCUGAAGUCAAAACAAAGAUUUUGCCAUCAAAAAUCUUCACAUCUGCAAUCCUGGCUUCUGUGUCGGAUACAGCAUAUCUCUGCCAACUGCUGCCGCCACUUUUGGACAACAAUAUAUAAUUUUCUGUCAGAGAGAAAAGAACCAUGAAAGUUUCUGAAAGCCGAGUGGACUGAAAUAGGAGAGCAGAAAAUUCAAUGCAGUUUAUGCCACCCAUAUGUCCAGGAAGGACGGGAAAACGCAGCUCAUGUUUUGUAAUUAAAUUUACGAGCCAAAAGCCUAAGUUUCCGUCGGUUGUAAUCAGGUACCCACAUGACAAACCCAAUAAUUUCUUGCAAGGCAAAUCUGGCAGCAUUGUUUUGUAACUUUUCAUAUCGAACAUAUUGUACAAUACACAAGACUUUUUCGAAUACUUUGGCCGAACAACAACUAGGGGUUGCUGGCGCUCCAUACAGUAUUUGCGGAAAGCAAUAGAUGCAGACCUCCAAGAUUUACAAACACCGCUAAAUGACAGGUAGUCCACGAUACUCAACUUUACUAAAAUUGACACCAGAAGUUCAUUAGGAAGAAUGCCCCAUGCUCCCCAAACUGUGUCACCCGAUCUCCUGCAAGUCCUUUUCCGUUUUCUUCCUUCUUUGACUGUUCGUGGAGCAUUCCUGUUAACAAAUAGGGAAACGAAGAACUCACCACAAAGCUAGAUUGAGCAUGCCCAUUCAAAUGAAUUUUAUCUAGAAAGACUCAGUAUUUUUUGUUGAAAACAGAAUGCAUUACUUUUACAGAUGUUGCUUAAGGACAGAUUCAUCCUUUGCAAGAUUUAAAAGAACUUGAUUUAACAGAGAGAGGAGAAACUAGAGUAGGAUUGUUCCUUUUGCCGGCACAGUAAGAAGUUCUGCAGCUAGACAUUAGAAGAUAAUAAAGCUUACUGGAAGCUAAUUCACUGAAGGUGCACAUAUUAAAACGAAAAUCAGUGCAUAGUUUAUGUUAAGGCCACUAAAAUCUAAAAUUUUAAUCAGAACUGGAUUAAGAGUGUGCAUACUCAACAUCUUUCCGAAAUGAGAACUUCAACGCUCCCCAGAAACUUGCUUAUAUCACACCCCAGCACUGAAAAUUCCUACACCACAACUUCCCAGGAACUUGAUAAAGGAACUGGGAGGCCAGUUGGAAAAUUUAGAAUCAAGGUCCAACUGGCAUAUGAUACUUUUACGAUAGCAGUCUAGUUUAGGAGGGCACAAGUAUAUACGUAAUGCAUACUUCAAGAGAAAGUAGGGAACAUUUAGAUUAUAAUUUUAGUAGACAAAUUUUUCUAUAAAAAAUGAGUGAGGUAUAUUCCAUGUUUUUAGUAGAAUCUCUUAGGGAAAGUCCAUUGGUGUGCAAUAUCUUGUUCUAAAAUAGAACAAUGCUAUAGUUUGUUCAAUAUUUAGAACAAAAGAUAGAUGGAGCUAUAAUUGCUGAAGUAUAAAAUGAUGAAGAAAUGUAUAAGAAGGUACUUGAAAGUGCGGGGUCUUUGAAAGUUUGUCAUAUUUAUAUUCAAAAGUGGGAUGUAUUUGGAAGUUGUUUAAAUGUGAAACAAGAUUUGAAACCAACCAUUGGAAAAUCACUUUUUCAUGCUAAAUUAUAGCAAACUCCAUCUAUUUUAGCACAACCAAAUGACUUUAUUCACUUGAGAUUUAGCCAAGACUUUUUUCUCCCCCCUUCCAAGGGGUGCUUAUUCUUUAAUUUGCUGUAUACAUGCACUUUUUGGGACUAGAGAUUUAGCCACACUUUUGAUUGUUACUACGUAAGGCUUUGAUGCCCCAAACCAGGAACUCCAAAACUUCAAGACAAAAUUUAUAAUAUUUACAUAGAGCAAAUUCAGAACAUAUUUACCCGAAAUAGUCGAUUAUCAACCGCCCCGCAAAAAAAUCAACAAUCCGCCUCAGAACAUUAUCACAAAAUGCCUUUUCCAUUCCACCCAAGGAAGGCCUUUCAACCACUUCCAUUCUGCCUUCGUUGAAAAAAUGGGCUGAUUCUCUCAAGCUCUUGUUCUUCCUAAUAACCACAGAAUACAUAAUGGUCAGACUGGAAAUAUCUGGGUUUUCCUUGUGCUUCCUUCAGGCAUUUACUACUACUCUUUAAAAGUUUGUAGAAGGAAUUCAACUUAAAUAUGGAUAAGUACAAAAAAAAGGGGAUAUUCACAGAAAAGAUUUUACUGUCUCCAUCUUUUGACAGCAUGAAACCAGUUCUUUUUUCAGUCUUCAUUUUCUUUUUCGUUAGCAUCAUAAACAUAAAUUUUAAGCAUACGAUAUCCACUAAUUCUGAUUGAACGGCUACGCAGAAAUCCAAAAUGUCAAAAAAUUGGUACUUAUAAUAAACAAAUUAAGUAGGGCAUAUACUGAUGAAUGUCUAAGUUAUGUUACCUACCAAAAUCGCUUUACAACUUAAAUGGUGUUUUAUUGCUUCUUUACAUAUAUAUUCAGCACAAAAAGGUGGACAUGCUCCAAAUGCUGUCUAGUUCCUCAGGUGUUAUGUUUGUGACUGUCUACAGAGUAUCACAGUGACUAACAUAACUAAAGCAACAAUCAACACUGUGAAAUGCUAGUUGGAAGAAUAUUAGCUUGACUUGGGCAGCUACUAGUAAGCCCAAAAUACUUAUUUAAAUUGCAUACGUGAAAGCUUGGCAUGUUUCAUUCAUAAUUAAUUAAUUAUAAUGCUUCACAGACAUUAUAAUUCUUAAUAGAUAUGCGAUACAAUGACAUGUUAAGUAUGACUAGUGUAUUAAGGUUUAUGUUCUAUUUCACACUACCAUGAAAUAAAUUCGGGUUUACAUUCCAGCAAAGUAAUAGUCUAACAGAGGGAGACACAGAGAAGAAGAAGAGGAGUUAACCAAAUUGAUUUUUAUCCUACACAGUAUAUUUUAUUUAUAAGCAUGUCACACUAAUUUGUUCCAGAACAUUCAGUAAAUAUGUGAGAAUCCAUAUUAUGAUUGCCUUAAUAUUAACAAGUCUCAGAUCAUACACCGCAAUUUAUUGAUCUGAUCAAGUCAAGAUUUAGUUUCAAAUUAAGCUAGAUAUCAUAAAAACAAGAUAAUAUUGAUAUGUAUUGGAUUUAAACAGUAAAUUAAAGGAAACAAUCAAGUAAAACAGAUCAGAAAAUUAACAUUACCACACUAUCUGGCAGGUUUAAAAACUUAUUCAAUAUACUUAUUACAUUACAUGAAUAAAAUUAAAGUAUUGGAUUUCUAUUUAUCAAAUCAUUCAAGAGAAGGCUCUGGCUUCUACAGUUUCGCUUUAUCAAUUCCUUCCUACCGGUCCUCGGAUUAGACUAAAUUAAGCUCACAUCUACUUGUGAAGUUCAGCAAAUCAAAAAUUAACAUUACGCUAGUAAACAAAAUCUACAAUCAUCUAAAGGGAAGAUUUACUUGUUAAAAAGAUAAUGCGGGCACAAACUGAACAAAAUGGCAAUGGAACUCGCCAACUCACCUGAGAUUACCCUAGUCCGCCGCAAAUCGCCCUCCACUAGUGCUCUCAAACUUUCUUAAAUAAAAAGAGAGACCUGGUUUGACAUAGGAUAAUAUAUAUGGUGAGAUGGACGGUCAGGAUAAGGUGAUGGGUUGGUGAGAUUGGACGGUCAGGAUAAGGUGAUGGGUUGGUGAGAUUGCAUCAUAUGACGACACAUGUUAGUAUGGAUGUACACCACUAUGGAUCCUUUGAGGUGGGCCGGAUCGAGAUCACUACCCCUAAGGCCUAUUACAUUGACCAAUGACCGGAUAACGGUGAGGGACUAAUAUAUUUUAAAAAAUACUAUGAUCCAUAUAUUUACUUAAUCGCAGAUUCACUUUUAUUUUUAUCGAAUGAGUUCAUGUAUCUGAGCAAGUUGUGACCAUAUUGUUGUUUCCACGGAGCCAAUGGGGUCAAAUCUAAUAAUUCUUUGUCCAUUUUCCAUAAGGUUAAUGAUGCAUAAAUGUAAUUAGUGUGUAACACUAAAUACGUCGGUCACAACUUGCUCACAUACAUGAACUCAUUCGAUAAAUACAAAAGUGAAUCCGGAAUUAAGCUAAUAUAUGGAUCAUAGUAUUUUUCGAAAUUAUAUUAUUCUAUCAGCGUUAUCCGGUCCGGUCAUUGGUCAAGUAAUAGGCCUUGGGGGUAGUGAUCUCGAUCCGGCCCACCUCAAAUGAUCCAUAGUGGGGUACAUCUAUACUAACAUGGGUCGUCAUAUGGUGCAAAUCUCACCAACCCAUUUCCUUAUCCUGAUUGUCCACAUAAUCAUAUAUCUUAUCCUGUAUCAACCUAGGUCUCUUAUUUAUUUAAAAAAUAUUGAGAGCACUACAGGAGGGCGACUUCCCGCAGACUCGGGUAAUUUCAGGUGAGUUGGCGUGUUCCUUUGCCAUUUUUGUUCAUUUUUUGUCCUGUACUAUCUGACUAUCGAAUCAACAAGUAAAUCUUCCCUUUAGAGGAUUGUAGAAUUUGUUUACUAGAGUGAUAUUAAUUUUUGUUUUGUUAGACAUCACAACUAAAUAUCAGCGUAAUUUAGUCUAAUCCAGUACCAGUAGGAAGGUAUUGAUAAGAUGAAAUUAUAAGAAGCCUGGGCCUUCUCUUAAUGAUUUAAAUAGCACCUGAGCAUUAUCCAAGUACAAUGCUUAUCUUUCCAAAGCAACAUUCAUUAUGUUUAAACAUUCGUUUGGAACCGGUCACAUUUACAAAUUAAAAGUGGCUUAAUGUGCCGCAGGGCUCGCCAAAUGUUCAACAUUGGGUCUGUCAGCGCUAGGUGAUCAAAACUACCGAUGGUACAAAGCAAAUAUGUCCAUCCAUGGCCAAAGCAUGCUGUAUUUAAUUUUGCACCCAAAGUUUUAAAUUUUCGUAUUAUUGUUUCUUAAAACCUUGUCUUUCUAUACUGAUCUUCUGUAUUGAUGACCUAUUUGUUAUCGUUAUCAAAGAAGUUGAAAACCAGAAAGUAACCAAUACACAAGAACACUCCCAACAUGACAAUAAAAUAUGAUUUGUGUAGAUUUAGCGUGAAACAGCACACUGGAUUUAACAAAUAAAACCACUACUAUAAACUAAUUACAAGAAUCGCUCACACCUGUAUCCUUCUAGACCAUGCCCUCAUUCUCUGUUCUAGAUUAUCGCGUCCUUGCAUAACAUUUGCUUCUAGAGACCAAAACUCUCGAAUAUUACAAGUGAAUGUAUCCCAUCCAUUGAUUGGUCCGAAAGAUCCAGCAUAAUAAUUUACCAUGAACAACCACCGUACAUAAGCCUGUCAUCAAACACCAAACCAGACCUUGGUGAAAACCUUGUUCAAAAUUAGAUUGUCAGGAAAUUUGGGUGCAAGAUAGUAAAUUUGUCUACAAUAUUUGUAAGUUCCAAUAAGAUGAGAUGGAAAUGUAAAUAAAACACACGCACAAUGUAUAUAAAUAACAAACUUGACCAAAAAUGAUGAUCAAAAAACAUGAAAGAUUGAUGGGUUUAUACCAAAAAUACAAACCAUCUGAAAUUUGCAGCGCAAAAACAUGCAUCCCAACCCAUUGAUUAAAAGAUUCCACACAAAAGUCUCUUGCGUUAACAAACUUAAGGGCAAACCCAACUGGAUCCAAAAAUCCACAUUUGAGAAGAAUCAUCCCAAAUUCUCCUCCAGCGUGAUCUAGUGGAUCAAUGAAUAGUACUGGUUCAGUGAAUUUGUAUCACUACAUUCAAAUUUGGAUCACCUAAAUUUAUUAUAAAAUAAUGAUUUUGUUAAUAUUUCAAUAUCUUUCGGUUAUCGGAUUUAAAAUUAAGUUGAUGAUUAUUAAUAUUAAAAUUUAUAAUAGUUUAUAAUUAAUAAUUAAUAAAAUUAAUGUUUUAGUAAAAAGUUAAAAUAAUAGGAAAACAAAUUUCAUUGAAAUUAAAAAAAGACUACAUUACAUGCAUAAAAUAAAAAGUACGUAAUAUGCAUAAAAUGAAAUUAUAAUAUUGGCAAAUGACUAGAAAACAGUACGAUAAAUAUAAAUUUUGAUGUGAUCAAAUAGAUUAUUUUUGUUUCCUCCGAGAUAAUCAAAAUAUUGUGCGUGACUAUUCGUAUCAUUUUGGGAUCCUUGAGCUUCAUCUUCAUUCCCUUGAUUUUGAGUUGUUGAACGUGCAUUUGGAGUACUCAAAUCACAUUUUGUAAUUGUUAUCGAACCAUCACACUUUUGGAGUAAAAAUGUAGUCCAAGAUAUAGAGACUACAUGCAUUAAUGUAAUUUGUUUAUUAAUUCAAAAUAUUAAUAGUUGUUUCUCUUUUGUAUAAAAUCAACAAAAAAAUCUUAUUUUGUUUAAUAAUAUUAGCAAUUAAGUAUAUAAUUUAAACAUUAAAUUUAAGUUUAUAUAGUUUAUUAUAAAAUUUAUGUAAUAUAAUAUACAAAAUGUAAUUUGGAUCACGCUAUUGGAGUUGGUUAGAAUUUUGGAUCAGUCAGUGAUCCAAUUUUGGAUUUUUAGAUCACAACUACGGCAGAUGAUGGCCUAAGAAGAACUCAACAAAGGAAGAAACUCUGUAGGGAUGGAGCCUGGUUGCCGAUGCUUAAAAGUAGGAGAAAAGGCACCGCAUAUCAUAAAUUGUUAAAUAUCCUCAAUAUCUAAUACCAAGCCAAGACACAUAAUGAUGUAUAUGGAUUUGUGCUUUUAACGACUAAACGUUACUCCUUUUAUCUCAAAAUAAGUGACGCUUUAAUUUUUUGGUAUAAAAAAAACAUACUUUCACAAAUCAUUUUUCAAAUUUUCUUUUUCUGAAUAAAAAUAUAGAUGUUAAAGCUUUAUUCUGAAAAAGAAAUUUUGAAAAAUGAUUUGUGUAAGUAUAUUUUUUUCCCACCUCAAAUUACGUGAAAAAAAUCAAAACGACACUCAUUUUGAGACGGAGAGAGUAUAUUAUGUUAAGUUUUUUUGAGGAUUUUAGUCGUUUUUCUUGUGAGCUUGGGGAAAAAAAAGGUUAAACUCUAUAUUGUGCAAUGUCUUAAAAAAAGUUAUAAAUGUUAGACGUGUAAUGUUAUAAAGUGAUUUUGGAUCCAUAUUUUUUUUAGACCUGAUAUUUGAGGUAUUAUUGUAUAAAAUUAUGAUAAACAGGGUCAACACAUUCAAUAGUAGUCAUUUUCUACCUUAAAACUAAUUGAGGAGCUAAAGAUAAAAUAUCAAAAUACCAUGAUUUUUAUACAUCACUUUUAAAAUUAAUGAUCAAGAAUAUUACUCUAUUUAUCUUUUUGAGAAUGAGUGACCGAUUAAUUACAAUAUUUGAUGUUUAUAAUUUUUUUAUGGAUAAUUGAUAAUAUAGAUGGUAGUAUUGUGUGUUAAAUAAACGGUAACAUAUAUGUGUGGUUAGUUGUGCGGUUCUGUAUAUGAUUAAAUAUUUUGGAUAAUGAAAAAUAGAAUUUUAAGAAGGUUAUAGUUCUGAGAGUGAGUAUUGUGAUAACCUACUGUAAAAAUGCGUGUCGGUCUUUCUAAAAAUUAAAAAGUUAAUUUAUAUGGGACAUCCAUUUUGAUAAUGAAUAUAUGGGGAUACUCAUUUUAAAAAAGCAUAUGAGACUAUAAGAGUGGUAUUUUUUACCAUCUACUUAAAAAAUGAUUUUCUUCUAAAAAAACUUUAAAAUAUGAUAUCUUUGGCUUUCACGUACCCGGACUAACUAAAUAAUCUAUCAAAUUCUUAUUGAGUAAAAAAUUUACCAUUAAAAGUCGGCUUGAUUUGAAGUAUUUCCUUAGCAUUGAGGUUGUUAGAAUUGAAGCCAGAAUUUCCCAGUCAAUUGUAUACGUUUUUUUUCACUGCUUGACACGUUUUUUAAGGUUCUUAUAUAACGUAGUUCCACAACUUAUUUUUAAAAUUUUCUUUUUUUUAUAAAAAUAUAUACAAAAAAGAAAAUCUUAAAAAUAAUUUACAGACUAUACUAUUGAAGAAUUAAAAUCCAUGCCGCGUCCGUACCCAUUUAUACUAUUGAGCGGGACGGAGAGGGAGUAGCUAAUACUCACUUUGGCUGAUUGUACACCAGCUGCUUUUCCAUUAUUAAAAGGCUUGCAUCCAAGUACAAAGGAUGUUUCAAAGUUGCCUGACCCAGAAGUGUAUAGAAGAUUUAUCGAAAAAUUGCACUAUUUGAACUCAAGUAGGUUUGAUAUUUCAUAUGUUGUUCAACAACUUUUUUAAUUAGUUUCACCAAGAACCAGCUCAUCAGCCACAUUAUGAUGUUGCUCUUCAUGUCUUAAAAUAACUUGAAAAUUUCAUUGAAUGUUGGUGUGUUUUACAAAGCUAAUACUCCUCUGCAAUUAACUGCAUAUUUAGAUGCAGACUAGGGAACUUGUUCAUUUUCUGCAAAAUCCUUGUCUGGGUAUGCUAUUUUCCGGGGUUCUUCCUUAGUUUCUUGGAAAAUUAAGAAGCAAAAAAAGUAUCUAAAAGUAGUACAGAAGCUGAGUAUAUAAGUAUGAGCUAUACAACUUCUAAGUUGAUUUAUCUUAAAGGUUUUUUAAGGGAUCUUUGUGAUCAAAUUCCUUUGCCAAUUGAUCUUUAUUGUGAUAACACUUCAGCUCACCACAUUGCAAAGAAGCAAAUCUUCCAAGAAAGAACUAAACAUUUGAAGAUUAACUGUCAUUUUAUUCUAGAUUAUGUUGAUUCUGAGUUCAUUCGAAUUUCACAUAUUAGUACUUUCAUUGAGCUAGCUGAUAUACUGACAAAGCCACUGGAUGCUGCUCAUCACAAGUUUCUUAGUAUCAAGCUUGGUCUUCAAUUUGAUCCUCUUUGAUGCCUAGCUUGAAGGGGGUAUUGAUCUAUGUACAUGUAUUGUAAAUAAAUGUUCUAGACGCUUCCAGCUACAUUUUUAUUUAGAGUAGUUACAGGAAUAUUCUAUUUGAUUGUAAAUACAGCUGAUGGAGCAACAAGUCAAUUUUAACAGUUUCAUUCUGUUCAUUCUCUCUCUAACAAACUUGAAUCACACUAAUGAAAAUCAAAUAAGCUUUAUCUUAAUAUUUUCCGCUCCCUUAAUGCGCUGAAAGUGCUAUGUGACGGGAUUUCUCUUCUCCCAAAACAGUGUGCAAUUGUUGAUUGAAAAAUAUUUAACUUUUAGGCACUAGAGGAUGAUGAAGCUUUUUGCUGAUCAACACUUGAGAGGCAGUUUCUCUGUCUCGGUACCACUAAAUACAUGCUUCAGACAAGGAUUAGAAGGUUGAUUUUAUGUUUGAUUAUGUUAAAAACUCAAAUAACUGGACACCUAACUAUUAAAGGCAGAGCUAUCAGACAACUAAAAAUUUUGAUCAUCCUUGGUAUUUGUAGGGCAAGUUGUGUCUUGGUAAGCAGAGACACAUAUCCCAAACUUCUCCAACCUUGCUAUACAUUCUGUAUUUGUAGGACAUCACCAUGUGCUACUGACUUAUUAUUUCAUUUUCAGUGUUCAAAAAACCUUCUAUAUAAACAUAGGUAUUUGUAUAUAAACCUUCUAUAUAAACCUUCUAUAUAAACCUUAUUAUUUCUGUGAUCAUAUUUACUCUGAGACCGAAAUUGAUCAAGCAUCGACCUGCAGAAGAUACUUGGCAAGGUAUAACAAUAAUGCUUCAAGUUACGAUUCUGUUUGCUUUAAGUUAAAUCUGCAGCACAUGCAUUAUUUCAUUUAUGUUAUGUCAGCUUGUCUUGUUUAUUGAGCUUGACUCAAGAAAUGAUAUUAGAAAGAAAACGUUGUAGUUAUAAUUGUCAGAUUGUAUUCAUUAUUGAGCAUUAUUUAUGAAAUGGUAUCAAAAACAUUUUCAACAAUAGCCAUUUCAGCAAACAAAUCUCCUGUAUUUCCAUCGCGAAGAUGCAUAAAAAGUGGUCAAUUUAUAAACAAUUUAUAUCUCCUAGUUAUAUCCUUUGACCGGAUUAUUUAGCUUCAAAAUGCCAGCAAUUAAAUCAACAUUUGCAUCUAAUUGUGUGUAAGAAGUAUGGCUUCCUGAAGAAAUUGAAAGCAUUAGCAAUAUACUAACUUUCUUUUGGAUUUUUUUGUAGAAGAAUUAUGUUGAUUAAAUCUUUUCUGACAGUCAACUUAUUUCCAGUGGUUUCUAUUUCUUCAUGUAUUAUUUGCAUAUACAGCAAAACAAUUAGCAGCGACGUCUAUGGAUAUAAAGAAGUUGCUGGAUAUCUAGUAGGUGAAAAAUACAUUGUCACAUGAAGACCUAAUUUGUGAACCCCGCCAUAAAAUUAUUGACAACAAAACUAAAUUAUGCCUCUAUGAAAAUUGUUGGACAUCAGGCGUCCAUUUCAAGAAAAUGUCACUUUCUGUAAUCUAUUGUGGAUGAUUUGCGUAGAGAUUGAUAAGUAGGGGCAUGCUGUCUUGCAACAGACAGAGAAGUCAUUCUAUCACUCAUAAAUUUAUGUAGCAAUUGAAAGAGAAAAUCAUGUGCUAUUGUCUAAUGCCUCCUCACUACUUGAUGUACAAAUUGAUGAACUGUUCAACAUUUUCUAUAUUUCUAUAUAAAUACACAACGGGGCAUUAGUAAAAUUCAUCACAAACGCAAUCAUCUAAAGUCUUCAUUAUCAAGUUCUUUUCUUUCUCCAUAUUCUCUAAACAAUCUAGGAGUAUUAUGGGUAUUCGUAUGCCUCGUGUUACUAAUCUCAAGAAAAUCCUUAACCAGUCAUCAUUCUUGUUAAGUCCCGAUUAUACUUCAACAGUUCCAAAGGGAUGCUUGGCAGUAUAUAUUGGGGAGAAGCAAAGAAGAAGAUUUGUGGUUCCCAUUUCAUGCCUGAAUGAUCCUGCCUUCCAAGAUCUGUUAAAUCAAGCUGAUGAAGAAUUUGGGUUCAGCCAACCAGAAGGCGGCCUCACUAUUCCCUGCUCAGUGGACACAUUCAUUCACCUUACUUCACGCCUAGAUAGAUUAUAGUGAGAAAACAUUUGUGUACUGGUAGAUAGUACAGCAUUGAAAUGUACAUAGUAGAAUAGGGAUUUUUAUCAGAUUUUUGUUGGCAACGCAUAAUUUGAAACUCACCACUUUGUCCGAUCUAAAAUUACCAUAGUAGAUAGAUUAUAGCUUAUUCUUAUAAAUCUAGAUCAAUAUAUAGAACGCCUGACAGAAAAAAGAGAUCAAAAUAUAGAACGAAAAAGUUUGAUACUCAAAUCAGUAACUUUUGCAUGUGACCUAAAGCUAAUUCUCUGAAGGCAGGGACUUUUAAAUAUCUUAAACUUAUCUACCCAGAACCUAUAUAUGAUGUUCUUGAUAAAAACAGCAAAUUUCAGAUGCAAUGAUUGUUGAAUGCAGACAGGUUUACAUAUAGUCCCUAGAUACUAAAAUGAAAAAAAAAAAAGGAAUGAAACAUCCAUCCAACAAAAAACCAGCACAGUGAAAUUGGAGGGUUGAGUCUGUCAACUAUUAGAGUGAAAUUAUAUAAACUUGUUCUUCACAUCCAUCCAAAGAGAUCUCGGUAAUUCCAGGAUAGCAAUAUGUAUGAAUAAAUAGAUAUUAAUUAACUAAGCAAAAGAAAUUCUUCACUGGUAUCUAAAAAUCAUAUUUCUGUGUAAUGAGAUGGUUACUCUAAUUUUCCCUAGGUUAUCAAAUGAGGGGGAUUGACUAGUAUACAUUAUAAACUAGAACCAUGCAAAACUGUUAGUACCAGAUAAUAGCUAUUUGUUUCUUAUAUCUGUGCAAGACUAAAGUGCGGUUAAUGAAUGUCUUCUCUACAUGGAAAAGCCACUUCAGACUAUAAAGACAUGGAAUGUAUAAAGCUGCUUAUCUAUAUUUCAAAUAAUAAGUACUUAUAAAGAUAUAUAAUGACUUCAUACUGAUUGCAGAGAUCAAAUCCAUGUAGAAAUUAAUGUAAUCAAAUUACAAAGUAUCAGUUAAUGCUCUACCAAAAAGAUCUAUAUGAGAGUCAUAUAUAAAAUUUCUGGACUAGUCUACAAAAUUGUACACUAUCUAACAAAAUAUAUAUAAACUCUCAUAAUCUGUUCAAGAGAUCAAUGAAGGUGUCUUCUUUGCAUGGUAUUGUGAGGCCACGUUCUGGAUGACUGAACCCAAAUUCUUCCUCAGCUUGACUUAACAGGUCUUGGAACGUAGGCUCAUUUAAGUAAGAGAUCGGAACGACAAAUCUUCUUCUUUGGUUCUCCCCGACAUAAACUGCUAUACAUCCCUUGGGGACAUUUGUACUGCGAUCAAGAUUUUUUAAGGAAAAUUGUCUGUUGAGAAUUUGCUUGAGAUUAGUGAUAUGAGGCACACGAAUACCCAUGAUGCUCAAGAAAAAUUGAAACUUCAACGGAUAUGGAGAAACCAAGAACUUCUGCAGAUGGUAGGCUUAGACCCUUAAUUACACUUGAUUUUGAGAUGAAUUUGGUUGAGGAGAUCACAGUUUUUAUAUCGAAAUAACAAGUAAUGAGCGGUUGAUGAAAAUGUAGAUUGAGUGGAACAGAUGCAUUAGGCAAUAGCACAUGCUAUUCUCUUUAAAAGGCCACACAUAUUUAAGAGUAAUGCUAGGACUUGAAUCUCUACUGAGAGACAUCAUGUCCUACAAAUAUGGACCUGAUAUACGACAGAAUAUAACGUAAUAUAUACGGAUAUGAACAACGUACAAUUAAUUUGGCUGGAAAGUCCCCACUUUGCCUGGCAAGCAAGGUAUUUGUGGUCAGUAGUUAGGUGCUCAUGUGAUAGUGUUUUCAUUCACCUAUCCUAGAUGUGAAUUUUGUGUAGUAGGAAACACCUGAUACAAGUUGUUAUAUCCAUGAAAGGAAGGGCAAAUUUAUUGAAGAAACAGAUUAAUGGACUGUUAGGAUUUUGUGUGGUAGGAAACACCUCAUAUAAGUUUUCAUAUAUUUAUAUUCACAAAACAAAUAGUAAAUCAGAAUGGGACAGGUAGAUUGUUAAAAUACAACCCUUAAUAUAACUCGGUCUUCUUGGCAUGCUUAAAAAUAAAUCCGCUCACCCCAAAACCGAUAAUAUCCGGUAUGAGUUAAAAGAAAUAAAUUAAAUUCUGGAAAAGAAGAACUAAGUUCCGAGAAAAAAGAAGGUAAAGACUCCUCCGAAGACCAGAAAUAUAUAAGAACACGGUCAAACUUUUAAUGUGACAUUAAAAAUUAAGACUAGCACAAAAGCCCCUGCGAGGCAAAGUUUAAAUGUGAAAUUAGAAACUAAGACCAGCACAAAAACCCCUACGAGGCACAUGCUUUUAAUUUAAAUCAUGUUUCUAAUUGAUUGUUUAUUAUAUUUAUAGAAUUUAAAUUUUAAUGUAUUUGUUUGUUUUUAAAUUUUAAAUUGAACUUUUUGAUACCUCUGUGUAUUCUACUGUAAUUGAUACUCGAUUUAUUGUUAGCAAUUCAAUAUUAGCAAGAUAUAUUAAUUAAAAUUAUCCUCAUUGACACAGUUUCUGUUUAAUAAAACUCUUAAAACAUUUGUAACAUACUAAACCAACAAAACAGACCUCUAGCAAAGGUUGAUAGUAUAGUCAUCAGCAUGCUCAAAACAUGUAAAAGUUUACAUGAAAGUCUCAGUCAGAAUUAAUAUUCCUAGACUAGUUCACAGAGUUUGUACACUAUCUAACAAAAUUUAACUAUGUCAUAUCUGCAGACAUAUAAACUUUCAUAAUCUGUUUAAGACAUCAAUGAAAGUGUCUUCUUUGCAUGGAAUUGUGAGGCCACCUUCCGGAUGAGUAAACCCAAAUUCUUCCUCAGCUUGACUUAACAGGUCUUGGAAUGUAGGCUCAUUUAAGUAGGAGACCGGAACCACAAAUCUUCUUCUUUGGUUCUCCCCAACAUAAACUGCCAUGCAUCCCUUGGGGACAUAUGUACUCCCAUCAAGAUUUGUAGAGGAAAAUUGCCGGUUGAGAAUUUGCUUGAGAUUAGUGACACGAGGCAUGCGGAUACCCAUGAUGCUAAUGAAAAAUUAAAGUUUUCAGAGUAAACUUUGGGGAUAUGCAAUUACAAGGACCUCUGCAGAUUGAAGCUUCGACACUAGAAUACACUCAAUUCUGAAAUGACUUUGCUAAGUUUCCAACAGUGUUUAUAUAGAACGGACAGAAUGUAUUGAGCUGUUGAUCAAAUUGCAGAUUGAGUGACACAGAUGCAUUAGGCAUUAGCACAUGCUAUGCCUAAGGGUACGUAGGACUCUUAUGUCUGUGAGUGACAUCUUGUCCUACUACUUAAUUGUGUUGAACAAUUCUUAACCUGAUUGUUUCUUAUCUAUAACAGAGUUUAUACUAAGGUCAUCGACAUACAUAUAAUGGCUAGAAACUGUCAAGUUCGAUAGGCAAGAAAUCAAAUCUCAUGCUUUUAUUGGUCAUAUAUAGCUGUAGGUGGGACAGGCAAGUUUCAUGCUCAUGUGAUGGUGUUCUCUUGACCCACAUAAGUCAUGCUGCAUUAUGUGAAAAUAUCACUUGGAGCUGGAAGAAGCAGUGUCACAUGAACACUUAUUAUUUCAACCCCACCAUAAUCAGUGCAGACAAACCCAAUACAUAAAAUCCUUUGGAGGAGUCUUUAGCUAUAUACUAGUGAUUUUGUGUGCUCCAUGUUAAAUCUGCAGUGCUUUUAUGCCUUUUCUUUAAUUUUUAUUUUACUUAUACACAUAUAACUGUAGGACAUCAACAAACGUAUUCCAGGCCAAGAUUACAUAUUGAGUCGUGAUUUAUUACUAGGACAUUAUGUCUCCCAACACAUAAGAUGUCCGCUUAUCAGCCAUUAAUACAUGUAGCUAGUGAAAGAGAAAAUCAUGUGCUAGUGUCUAAUGCCUACCCACUGCUCAAUGUACAACUUGAUGAGAUGUUCUAUUCAAAUUGUUGAUUGUUCUAUAUAAACACAUAAUUAAGCGAUACUAACAUUCAUCAUAAACACACUGGUCCAAAGUCUUUUCCUUAAAACUAUACAAGUCCUAGUGUUUCUUCAGUUUCCUGAACUCUUCUCUGAAAGAUCUAUAGUGUCAUGGGUAUCCGUAUGCCUCGUAUUACUAGUCUCAAACAAAUUCUUAACCGCUCAUCUUUCUUAUUAAAUCCUGAUCUAUCUUCAACAAUUCCAAAGGGGUGCUUGGCAGUUUAUAUUGGGGAGAGGCAAAGAAGCCGAUUUGUGGUACCCAUUUCAUACCAGAAUGAGCCUGCCUUUCAAGAUUUGUUAAGUCAAGCCGAGGAAGAAUUUGGAUUCAAUCAUCCGGAAGGAGGGCUUACCAUUCCUUGCUCAGUGGACACAUUCAAUGAAAUCACUUCGCGCCUGAACAAUCUAUAUACUUGUAGAUAGUAUAGCACCUCCGAUCUCAUUUAUUGAGUUUCUGAGUGUAAACUGUAGAACAUACAGAUUUUGUAGGGGAAGCAUAAUUUGAUACUCAAACUUUUUGAACAUAUUGACCAUCACUUAUGCUCAUGUUUACUUGUUAUUUUCUAUAAAGCAUAUCACCAAGUGUUUGACGAUAAACUUUAUGCCUAAACCAAAUCACCAACAAAUUUACAGGUUCUGUAGUUACUCUUUCAUACCUGAAUCUUGCAAUCGUCUUGAAAAAUCAGCACUGACACAGGGUUGCUAGCUCAAAAAUCAAAAUUAAAAUUUAUGAACAGUUCUAACUAAUUAAUAAAUAUAUGUCUUGCAUAGUCAGUGGAGAAACCAGAACUAAAAUCUUGGGGUGGCUCAAAUAUUUAAUUAUAUUCCUAAGCACUUUUAUUACUGAUGGUCACAUCAAAAAGAGAUUAAAUAUUUUUAUAUGAUGUGACCCCCGCCGUGUAUCUCCCGCUCGAGUUAAACAAGUUUCUCUAUUCUUCUUUUUUUCCAGAAAAUAUCUCACCACUUUCGAAACAUUUCAGUGUAAGUUCAUAAUGUCUUUGUCGAAACAUAUCCAUUCUCUUACACGAAUCAUCAACAAAUUCACAAUACGACAAAGAUGACCAGAAAAAUCACUUACUACAUGAGAACAUUUAGCCAUAGCAACAACUAAUAACUGCAAUUUCAUGACUCUAAUGGUGAUUUAAAGUAAUGCAAUAUGAUGACUCUCCUGGUAGUUUAAUGUAAUUCGAGAGUACCAAAUUAGACUACCACAAUUCAAUAAUUCAGAAUUAACGAAGAAGUCUCUAAAUUAUCAUUCUAAUUAGUAAGGACUUCCCAGAUCAAUUUCAGGAUCAAACGACGACAUAUGUGUUAGAGAGAACCUUUUAAACUCUAUUUCUCGGGCAUCCCCCAAUUAACAAUUUCAUUAUACAAAAUCAUAAAAGAUACAAAAAUAUUAAAGACUAACAAUUUAUCCAAGAAUCAAGAAGGUCAAUCACAAAACGUGAUAAAAAUAAAAGGAUAAUCAAUCAAUUUAUCAUACCUUGAAAUUUAAAAAGCAAGUGAGAAGUCAGAGUAUUGAGUAAACACGAAAACACUGAGUGAAUCUAGAGAGGGAAAUAGAAGGAUAACGUCGGGUGUACUUUAUUCGACAUUUUAAAAAAUUAUGUUGACAUCUGUAAUUUAGCAGAGGCUAAAAAAAAAAUAUCCACCGUUUUUUGAGGUCAUGGGUAGCUUUAGCAUCCCCUAGCCCUCUCUGGUUGUGCCACUGUGCAUAGUUUAAUUUAUAUAAGUCAUUUAUUAUCAUGAAUACUCCUUUUGCUCUUGAGCCUACGAGAUAUUAACGAUGCGCAUAUCAACCUAUGCAGUAUUGUAGCUAACAUGUUAAGUAUCGCGUCUGGGAGUACUUUCGCAAGAAUGAAACCUUUUGUCAUUGAACUUCCCAAUCAAAAUUAUCGUAAGACCUUGUGAUGAUCAACCUUUUGAGGAUCCAAUUGUAUUCCGGCUUCCCAAUAAAUUAAGUUAAAAUUUUGUAAUUUCACUACAAAGUUUUCCAAUCUAAUAAAAAUUAAAAUAAAUACCUAAUAUACAAAUUUUAUAAGAAGUUAAUCGAAACUGCCCUAACAAUUUCACAUUCUAUCUCAGGGACUGGGAAAGUAAAUUUUAGAGGUUAACAGACUAAGAUUGGUAUUGUUAACCAUACAGGAAAAAUAAAAUUUGCGAACUAAACGUAUAUAUUUGAGAUGAGAACCAAUAUACAAAAAAAUCUACAAGAAAGAAUAAUUUCGUGUAUUAAUUGAUGCCUAAAAGAUUCACAUUGUAAGUCUCACUAUAUAACAUAUCUGGACAAGUAUGAUAGACGUACAAUUAUUGACAAUAUCAGAAGUGCCAUGUAUAAUGCUAAAACAAAGAGACAUGCCCAAGUUAGAUUUAAGUAUAUAAGGGGUUUAUUGUUUGAUCGGAAUAUAGUUAUGAGUUUAUUGGAACUCAAGAUAAUAUAGCUACUCCAUGAGCAUGUUGUUAUUCUUAAGUCGAGGUUUUGGUUGGGACUGAUAACUCAUCAUGAUUCAUCUGCAACGGGAACCGAAUACAUCUUAGAGGAGAUCCUCCAAGUGUAUUUAAUAGAGUAAUAAAAAGCUAUAAGGGUGGUGACAACUGCAAGUAUAACAAGAGUUUUUAGAACUCUGAACGGGGUCAUGUUAUUAGACAAAAUCUCUGAAGAUGCCCAUCUAAGCGAAUGUAAUUGUGAGGUCGCAAUUAGAUGAAAGGGUUAUUCCUUGAAGCAUUCGACGAACAUAAUCGAGACACGACCAUUAAUGUCUCAAAACCGUAGAUUAGCACCAUAACCUUUGACUUGUCAUCGUCUAUGGAGCGUGGUUACACCCAACGAAUAGAUAUUCAAGGUGAAACAAUCCAUCUAUAUCUGAAAGCCACCGAAGUAGGAGAUUUAUGAGGGUUCUAACCCGGAAGGAUACCAAUUUUGAAAGCCAGGCAUGAUGAAGACUGAUAUGCAAUUUUGUGUGGAUAUAUGGGGAUUGUUGAAAAAUGGAAAGUUUGAGGCAUUUUUUAAAUAUGUUUUUGAUGUAAUUUCUGGAAACUAAUAGUUGGUGGCUGUCCCUUGCUAACAGGACUUAAACUUUCAUGUUUGGAUCUAAGACAUUUUCUUAGUGUAAUCCAUAAAUAAAUUGAGUUGAAAUGGCUAGCUUGAAGUGGGUCAUGUGGUUGCCUGAAUUGUAGCAACUUGAAUACCAUAUUGAUUUGAUAAUGAAAGUUUGGUGGUUUUAUAGUACAUCACAUGCAAGCGUAGUGCACUAACUACUAAGGUGUGAAGCCGUAGGUGUGCCAUUGCUUCAUGCGGAGCUCCCACGCGCGGCGCGCAUGUGUGCCCUUCACCGUCUCGCAGUUUUGUGUGCUCCCACACGCGCGUGCCUUCACCAUCUCCGUGUGGAACUUAGUAGAUAAAGAAGAUUUUUCUUGAUUAUAAGCAGUCAAAAAUCUCCAUUAAUAUGUAAGAGCAGUGGCGGUGGCACGUGGGGGCCCGGGGGGACACGUGCCCCCGUAGAGUUUUCUAAAAAAAAAAAAAAAAAAUUUUUUUUUUUUGUAGGACCCACUUACUUUACCAAGUUGUAUACUCCUGUACAUACUUUUCACAGCUGAUCACAUAUAAUCCCUAGAGCUUCUUCGGCUCCUUUUACACAAACCACAACCCAAAAGCCAAAAUCAAACGAUAACACCUGCAUCAUCACUUAUCCGGGCAAGGGGGUGAUUCCUUUUCAUAUUUCUUCAACAAUUCCUUUAUCAGGUAAUUUCUCUUCUCUGCAUCAUCAUUAAUUUUCUUUGUAUUCUUGUAGUUGUAUAUAUGUUGAGUUUUAAGUGUUGUAAGACUAAAGAGUGAUGGAUUGUUGUUUAUAUAUUUGGAUUGUGAAUUGUGAUUAAAUAGUGAAUUAGCGAUGAUCUUCUUGUAUUAAAAUUUACUGUGUAGUUAUAGUUCUCAUUCUGGGCUUCUAGGAUAUUUUUCAAGAAUAGUCAGUAGAUAUCUUAGAAUUUUAAAAUCUCUUGUAAUUAUUUGGUCAUGCUUCUAUUAAACAGAAAUGGAGAGAUUUUAUAAAAGGAAGUCAGAAGCGGAAGCUGUUGUGCCGCCUGUGCCAGUGCCACCAACCGUAGUAGCUGAAAAUUCUCAAAAUAUUAUAAGAGAUGAAAGCAGAGUGAUCAAUUUAGCGACACUUGAGUCUGAUCCAGGGCUGAGGAUUCCAAUUGAAAAUUAUAAUGUUAAUAUACAAGAUGAAGUCAGGAGAAGAUACAUGCUUCAAGGUCCUUGCCAACCGGACAAUCAUAUAUUUCCAUUGACAAAGUUUGGACAAAAAUGCAGAAGAUUCAACCCAAAAUGGUUUAAAGAAUUUUCAAAUUGGUUGGAGAAUUCUAUAAUUGAUAUGCAACUCCAAGAAUUAAAUAGUCGUUUUGAUGAGGUGAAUACUACAUUACUUCUCUGCAUUUCUUGUUUGUGCCCGGAUGAUUUGUUUGUUGCUUUUGAUAAACAAAAGUUAAUUCAACUUGGUGGGUGUUAUCCUGAAGACUUUUCUCCGAUUGAACUCCUGGCCCUUGAUGACCAACUUCAGAAUUAUAUAACCGAUAUGCUGUCAAGUAUUGAAUUUUCUGAUUUGAAAGGGAUUACCGCUCUUGCCAAAAAAAUGGUUGAACUAGGAAGGGACAAAGUGUAUCCUCUGGUAUACAAGUUACUAACAUUGUCUUUGAUCUUGCCAGUGGCAACAGCAAGCGUGGAAAGAGUAUUUUCAGGAAUGCAUCUUGUUAAGACAAAGCUGCGAAAUCGCAUUGGAGAUCAGUGGUUAAAUGAUAGUUUAGUUAUAUAUAUCGAAAGGGAAAUUUUUGAUUGCGUUGACAAUGAACUGAUCAUGCAGCGAUUCCAAAACAUGAAAACUCGUCGUGGAAACUUGUAAUAUUAUCACAUGAACUUGUAAAUAUUUUUGCUAUAUAUUUAUAUAUUUUAUUUUGUUGCUGGAAAUUUAUAUGGUGCCCCCACUCGCUAAAAGUCCUGGCUCCGCCACUGUGUGUGAGGCAACACGAUGUAGCGUUCUUAUGUUUUUACAUGGGCUUGGGUUCUUAUGUUUUUACAUGGGCUUGGGAUUGAAACGCUAUAUAACGUAAUGUUAAAAUAUUAUCAGCAAUAGCCCUAUAUUCUGGUUCUGGAGUUGAUCUGAAGACUGCAGGCUGUAUCUUAGAUUUUAGAAAUCUAGGAGAUGUUCUGAUUACAAUGAGACAGCAGAUUUUCUUGUGUCUUGGCAACCUGCUCUGCAUGUAGUGACAUAUGAUUUUCUUGUGAAAAACAAAUGGAACGAAACGUGAAGCUUAUCAGUGGCUUACAUGAAGACUACAAAAAAACCCUGCACAACUGAAAUUGGAGGGUUGAGCCUAUCACUGAUCUCUAAAAAACAUAUUUCUGUGUAAUGAGAUGGUUACUUUAAUCUUCCCAAGGUUACAAAAUGGAAGUGGAUUGACUACUAUACAUUACAAACUAGAACCUUGCAAAUUGUUAGUACCAUGCAUAUAAUAGCUAUUUCAAAUAAAAAGUACUUAUGAAGAUAUAAAAUGACUACAUAAUGAUUGCAGAGAUCAAAUCCUUGUAGAAAUUAAUGUAAUCAAAUUACAAAGUAUCAGCUAAUGCUCUACCUAAAAGAUGUAUAUGAGAGUCGUAUAUAAAAUUUCUGGACUAGUUACAAAAUUUGUGUACACUAUCUAACAAAAUAUAUAUAAACCCUCAUAAUCUGUUCAACAGAUCAAUGAAGGUGUCUUCUUUGCAUGGUAUUGUUAGGCCACCUUCUGGAUGAGUAAACCCAAAUUCUUCCUCAGCUUGACUUAACAGGUCUUGAAACGUAGGCUCAUUCAAGUAAGAGAUCGGAACUACAAAUCUUCUUCUUUGGUUCUCCCCAACAUACACUGCAAUACAUCCCUUGGGGACAUUUGUACUGCGAUCAAGAUUUCUUAAGGAAAAUUGUCUGUUGAGAAUUUGCUUGAGAUUAGUGACAUGAGGCACACGAAUACCCAUGAUGCUCAAGAAAAAUUGAAACUUCAACAAAUAUGGAGAAUACAAGAACUUGAUUUUGAGAUGAAUUUGGUUGAGGAGAUCACAGUUUUUAUAUAGAAAUAACAAGUAAUGAGUGGUUGAUGAAGAUGCAGAUUGAGUGGCACAGAUGCAUUGGGCAUUAGCACAUGCUAUUCUCUUUCAAAGGCCACACAAAAUUAAGAGUAAUGCUAGUGCUAGGACAUGAAUGUCUGUUGAGAGACAUCAUGUCCUACUGUUUCGGUUCAACAAAUCUGGACCUGAUAUUUUCUCAUUUAAAUUUACGUUUUAUGCUGAUACAUGCUUCAGACAAGGAUUAGAAGGUUGAUUUUAUGUUUGAUUAUGUUAAAAUUGAAAUAACUGGACACCUAAAUAUUAAAGGCAGAGCUAUCAGACAACUAAGAAAUUUGAUUAUCCUUGGUAAUUGUAGGGCAAGUUGUGUCUUGGUAAGCAGAGACAUAUAUCCCAAACUCCUCCAACCUUGCUAUUGAUUCUGUAUUUGUAGGACAUCACCAUGUGCUAGUGACUUAUUAUUUCAUUGUCAGUGUUCAAGAAGCCUUCUAUAUAAACAUAGGGAUUUUGACAUAAAUCAACACAAGCUUAGUAGCAAACCUUUAUUUCUUUCAUCCAGCAUCCUCUAGUCCUUUCCCUCUCGACAUCCAUUCUAAGAACACUAACUUAGAAUCAUGGGUAUCCGCAUGCCUCAUAUUCCUCAUGUCAAGAAAAUCUUUCAGGGGUCUUCUUUUGCAGCUACAGCAGUUUCAGACGUCCCAAAGGGCUGCUUGGCAGUUUAAGUUGGGGAUAGCCAGAGAAAAAGAUUUGUUGUUCCAAUUUCAUACUUGGCUGAGCCUGCCUUCCAGGACUUGCUAUGUCAAGCUGAGGAAGAAUUUGGUUUUGAUCAUCCAGAUGGGGGUCUUACAAUUCCCUGCAGAGAAGAUGUGUUUACAGACCUCGCCUCAAGCUUGAGAAGAAAAUAAUAGAGAACAACCUGAUCAAAAUAAGUAGUUUAGAAAUUUUUUGUAAGCUAGUAGGAGAUAAGUUAGAAAAGGUUGGACCAUAGGCAUUUAUGCAAAAGCUUUCUUCCUGUAUCUCAUGGAAUCAUUUUCAAUGAGGAAGAUCGUCACUCAGAAUUUUGUAUAAUAUGAAACUAUAUACAUCCCGAUUAUAUUUUUAAGAUCUAAUUAUGUUGUUUGCAAAUAACUUCCUAUCUGUAAUCAGUUCCACGUUAUUCUGAAAUUGAUCGAAAUUGGCAUAGAAUAGUGUUUUAACAGAUAAAUCUAUUCAAAAUUGAUAUGGGAGAAAGCAGCCCCUUAUUUUAUAUUCCUAUAUUUCAGAAAGAAUUAGUCAUAACCUAUCUACAGUUGCUCUGUGAUCAUAUUUACUGUGAGCCCGAAAUUCAUCAAGAUUCCACCUGCAGAAGAUACUUGGCAAGGUAUACCAAUGCUUCAAGUUAUGAUUCUGCUUGCUUCAAGUUAAAUUUGCAGCACAUACAUUAUUUCAUUUUUAUGCUAUAUAUUGAUCACCUAUACAAAAAAUGUGCUACAUUAUGCGUUCCACAAAUGUAUACCUGAUCAAGACUUGAUAUGAAAUUACAAAUUCAAAUGGGAACUUUAAGUUGAUAUUUUCCCCUAUAUUUCUGUGUUACUGAUCUGUCUAUAUCAACUAAUCUUUCUUGGUAAAUUUUGAUUAUAUAAAACCGUUUAUGUUGGGGAGAGAGAAAGGAGAAGAACUAUUGUCUAUUGAGAAGUCAUAUUUCUCAUGGACCCAGUCGAAUGCUUAUACAUAGAAGAACAGAGAAGUCAUUAAUAAUUAAACAUCAAUCAAGAAAUUACAGUAGAAAGUAGCACAUCAGUUUGUACCUGCAUUACCUUACUACUUCUGGUACUCUAAUAAUAAUUCAAAAUAUAAUAUAUUUGCUCAGACAAGGAUUAGAUGUUAUAAUUCCUGUGUGAUAAUGUUUAAAACCUCCAAAAAUAGACAACCUAUAAAUUCAAGAUUAUCAUAUAUAAUACGGCAGGUUGUGUCUUGGUAGUCAUAGACAUAUAUUCCACACUCAUACAGUCUUGCUAUUCAUCUGAUGAUUUAUUAUCACCAAUAUAUAUGCAUUAGUAGUCCUUAAUUUACUAUUUAAGAACUGCUUCAUCUGCUGUAUAAGCACGUCAUUGGGAUUUUAACAAAAACCAUUUCAAGCUUAACUGUUUACCUACAUUUGUUCGUCUAGCCAUUGGUUAGUCAUCUACCUCAUAACAUUCAUUCCAAAUAAAGCCACUUACAAUCAUGGCUAUUCUUCACCGAUCUUAUUUUGGAAGAUAUACCAUGACUGCAGCUACUGUCCGAAAUAGAUUCUUUGCAAUUUAUGCCGGGGAGAGGCAAAGAACAUAAUUUAUUGUCCCAAUUUCAUGCUUGAGUGAGCGUGCCUUUUAAGACUUGUUAAGUUAAGCUGAGGAAGAAUUCGGGUUUGAUCAUCCAGAGGGGGGUUCUUACUAUUCCCUGCAGAGAAGAUAUCUUUACAGAUCUCAAGUCAGGCUUGAGCAGAAAAUCAUGAAGACGAACAUGAUCAGAACAAGUAGUGCAGAAAAUUUUGUAAACUAGUGAAUACAUAUUAACUAUAAAUGUCAGAUUGUCUUUUGUUUAUUGAGCUUGUCUCAAUAAAUGAUAUUAGAAACAAUACGAUGUAGUUAUAUUUGUCAGAUUGUCUUCAUUAUUGAGCUUUAUUCAUGAAAUGGUAUCAAAAACAGGUUCGGCAAUAGUCAUUUAAGCAAACAAUUUUCAUGUAUUUCCAUAGCAAAAAUCAUUGCAUAAAAAGUUGUCAAUUCAUAAGCAAUUUAUAUCUCCUAGUUAUAUCCUUUGACCUGAUUAUUUAGCUUGAAAAUGCCGUCCUCAAAUAUAUCAUUUCCACAUAUUUCAGCAGUUAAAUCAACAUUUGCAUCUAAUUGUGUGUAAGAAGUAUGGUUUCCUGAAGAAAUUGAAAGCAUUAGCAUCUAAUUGCAUUAGAAAUUGAAAUCAACAUUUGCAUCUAAUUGUGUGUAAGAAACUCCUUAACCCGUCAUCUUUCUUGUUAAGUCCUAAUUAUACUUCAACAGUUCCAAUGGGUUGAUUUGUGGUUCCCAUUUCAUACCUGAAUGAUCCUGCCUUCCAAGACUUGUUAAAUCAAGCUGAGGAAGAAUUUGGGUUCAGCCAACCAGAAGGCGGCCUCACUAUUCCCUGCUCAGUGGACACAUUCAUUCACCUUACUUUACGCCUA